AUCCAGACCUCAGCUGGCUGUGGCUUCAUUCCUACUUAGCAGGUAUUUUUUAUGUUCCAUUUUUGGUCCCCUGAGAUAUUUAUUUUUUUAGUGUUGCUGUGCCUUUUAAAUUGUCUCUUUAUAGUAUAUACUUGCCAUGCUUUGGUGUGGGUAUCUCAAAAUGUAAAAUUAAAAGACAUCUUAACUAGUAGUCCAAAUUGGUUUAGCUCUCAAGAGUCCUUUACUAGUGUUGUUUGGACUCUUCAGUGAUUUACAAAAGACUGUAUUAGUUUCCUAAGGCUGCCAUAACACAAUGCCACAAGCUGGACAACUUAAAACAACAGAAAUUUCAUUCUUUCACAUUUCUGGAAACUAAAAGUCUAAAACCAAGACAUCAGCAGGGACAUGUUCUCUUUGAAGGCUAUAGAAGAGGAUCUUUCCUUGCCUCUUCAUAGCUUUUGGUGGUUGCUGGCAAUCCUUAAUGUUACAAUCACUGCCUCCAUCUUCACAUGGCAUUCUCCCUAUAUCUGUGUCUCUAUUUUCACUUCUUCUAAGGGCACGAGUUAUUGGAAUGGGGCCCACCCUAAUCCAGGAUGACCCCAUCAUAACUAAUUACAUUUGCAAAGACCCUAUUUCCAAAUAAGGCCACAUUCACACGUUUAGAGCAGCAUGAAUUUUGGGAGGACACUAUUCAACUCAGUACACUAGGCUAUUGGCCUAAUGGCCAGCCCUGCUCCUGACUGAGGCAAGGAGGUACUUAGUUUACCUCCCUAUUCCCAGCUCUAGCUGAAGCCGUUUGGCUCCCCCAUUAAAUGUUAUAUUCAAAUGUCGGAUUGAAUUAAGGAAUGAGAAGCCAUCACUUAACCUUGCUUCAGUCAGAACAUUGGAGUUCAUGUCCAACAGUGGAUCAGUAGCAAAUCCCCAUGUAUGAAAGAUGGCAAAUGGUUUUUUCCCUUUGUACCCUAAUACUCCUGAGCAAAGUGCUCAGGUCCAGAAGGAUAGGCACAGUUCUUUCAAGAGGUAACCUGGGAAUUCAUAGUUGGAAAAGGAAGUCCAAGAAUACUUCAUUUACCUAGCAUCAUUUUACCUUUUGUUCUGGCAAUAAACAAUCCCAAGUGGCUAAACUUCCUGCAUUUGAACCUGCUUUGUACUGUAUUGCUGUUUCUGCCCCACUGUCAGUGGCCAUUUCUGAUAUCUGUCAGCCUCAUUUCUAGUAGCUCUGGUCCUCUCUAAUGUGCUGCUUCUACGUGCUACAGGCAGAGACUUGGCAGCAGAACUUGUUAGACAUGUGAGUGUAAGACAGAGAGACCGUGUGCAAAGCCUGCAGAGUUCUCUGGCAAAGGAAGGGCAGAAGAUAUAGGAUUAUUUCAGCUCUUCAGAGACCUUUCUGAGGUUGAUAACUUUAUGAUUCCGUUAGGUGACCUUGGAAUAACUGAAGCUUCACUGCAAUCUGCAGCAUUCACAGACUUUAAGUUUGGACGCAGUCUCCCAUUUGUACCACUGGAGGCCUAGGAAGGUCAGAGUGGUGAAGCUGCGACCAGCCCACAGAUUAGGCUCUUCCUGCCGUUCCAUCUUCCUCCAUCUUGCCUUAGUGGUUUCCUCCCAGAUGCCUAGGGCAGAGCAAGGCUCCAGGUACCAGACCCUGGGUAUCACAGCAGGUAAAUUCUAGGGGAUACUACAGGCAGUAUAGCAUGGUAGAAAGAAGGGCCUUCAAACCAGCCAGACCUAGGUUCGAAUCCCCACUCUGACCACUUAUUAUCUUUAUGACUUGGGAGAAAUAACUUAAACUCUCUGGUCUUGAUUUAAAUGUGUGUAAAAUGAAAAUAAUAAUGUGUACCUUGCAUGGAUGCUUUUUGGGUAUAAUUAAGACAAAGCAAUAAACGCAUUUAACAUACUGUAGACACUUAAUGGUAGCCUAGCAUUCAUAUUAUUGAUGUUAGUCUUUUUUUUAAUUUAUUUGUUUAUUUUAAAAGAGAGAGAGCAUGCACGCAAGCAGGGGAAGGGCAGGGGGAGAGAGAGAGAGAGAGAGAGAGAGAGAGAGAGAGAGAGAGAAUCCCAAGCAGUCUCCUCACCAUCAUCGCAGAGCCCGACUCAGGGCUCAAACCCAUGAACCAUGAGAUCAUGACCUGAGCCGAAACCAAGAGUUGAAUUCUUUACCAACUGAGCCACCGAGGACCCCCAGAUGUUAGUCUUUUAAAUAAAAACUUAUUUUAUUUUGAUAAGAACACUUAUAAUGAUAUCUGUCUUCUCAACAAAAUUUUAAGUGGACAAUAUAUUAUUGCUGACUAUAGGUUCAGUGUUGUACAGUAGAUCUCUAGAACUUAUGUUGCUUCACUGAAAACUUUAUGCCCCUUGAUUAGUAACUCCCCAUUUGUUCCUCCCAUCAGUCCUGGUAACCACUAUUCCAUCCUUUGAUUCUGUGAAUUUAACUAUUUUAGAUACAUCGUAUAAAUAGAAUUGUGCAGUAUUUGUUUUUUUCUGUUACUGCUUUAUUUCACUUAGCAUAAUGUUCAUUAUGUAGCAUAAGGUUCAUCCAUGUCGUUGCAUAUUACAGGAUUUCCUUCUUUUUAAAGGCUGAAUAGUAUUCUUUUGUAUGCAUAUACAUUUUCUUUAUCCAGUCGUCAGUGGACAUUUAGGUUGUUUCCACCUCUUGGAAACUGUGAAUAUUGUUGCAGUGAACACGGCAGUGCUAAUAUCCCUGUAAGAUCUUGGUUUCGGUUUUUUUUGGAUAAAGACCCAGAAGUGGGAUUGCUAAGUCAUAUGAUAGUUCUAUUUUAAAUUUCUUGAGAAACCUCCAUAUUGUUUUCCAUUGCAGCUAUAUCUUUUUGCAUUCCUACCAACAGUGUGCAAGGCUUCCAAUUUCUCCACAUCCUCACCAACAUUCACUGUCAUUAGCUUUCUUGGUGAAAGCCAUCCUAACAGGUGUGAGGUGAUAUCUACUGUGGUUUUGAUUUGCUUUUUCCUGAUGAUUAGUGAUGUUGAGCAUUUUUCAUAUGUCUGUUGGCCAUUUGUAUGUAUUCUUUGGAAAAAUGUCCUUUCCAGUUUUUGGCCCAUUUUUAAAUAGAGUUAUUAGAAUUUUUGUUAUUGUUGUUGUCGUUUUGUUUUGUUUUGUUUUGCUAUUGAGUUGUGGGAUUUCCUUAUAUAUUUUGAAGAUUAACCACAUAUCAGUGAUACAGUUUGCAAAUGUUUUCUUCCAUUCUGUUGGUUGUCUUUUCACUCUGUUGAUUGUUUCAUUUGAUGCACAGAAGCUUUUGUUUGUUUGAGGUAGUCCCAUUUCAUUAUUUUUGGCAUUGUAGCCUGUGCUUUUGGUGUCAUAUCCAUGAAAUCACUGUCAAGACCAAUGAAGCUUUUCCCCUAUGUUAUCUACUAGUUUUACAGUUUCAGGUUAAGUCUUUAAUCCAUUUUGAGUUGAUUUUUGUGUAUGUGUAAGGUGGGGGUCAGUUUCAUUCUUUUUAAUGUGGAUAUCCAGUUUUCCCAACACCAUUUUGUUGAACUGACCAUCCUUUCCCCAUUGUAUAUUUUUGGUACCCACGUCAAAGAUCAGUUGACUGUAUAUGUGUGGAUUUAUUUCUGGGCUCUCUAUUCUAUUCCAUUUUUCUCUGUAUAUGUCUCUAUGCCAGUGCAAUACCAUUUUGAUUACUGUACAUUUGUAAUAUAUUUUGAAAUCAGGAAAUGUGAUGCCCCUAGCUUUGUUCUUUCUCCAAAUUGAUUUGGCUACUUGUGGUCUUUUGUGAUUCCAUAUGAAUUGUAGAAUUUGUUUCUUCCAUUUCUGUAAAAAAUGCCACUGGGAUUUUGAUAUGGAUUACAUUGAAUCUGUGGACUGCUUUGGGUAAUAUGGACAUGUUAACAAUAUUAGUUCUUGUGAUCCAUGUAUAUCUUUUAAUUUAUUUGUGUCUUCUUUAAUUUAUUUCUUUUUUCUUUUUUUAAUCUUAUUUAUUUAUUUUGAGAGAGAGAGAGAGAGAGUGCACAUGCAAGUGGGAGAGGGGGAGGGGCAGAGAGAGGGAGAGAGAAAUCCAAGCAGGCUCCAUGCUGUCAGUGCAGAGCCCUAAAUGGGGUUCAAAUUCACGAACCAUAAGAUCAUGACCUGAGCUGAAACCAGGAGUCAGACACUUAACUGACUGAGUCACCCAGGUGCCCCUAAUUUAUUUCUUUUUUUUAAAGUGAUCUCUAUGCCCAACAUGGGGAUUGAACUCACAACCCCAAGAUCAAGAGUUGCAUACUCUACUGACUGAGCCAGCCAGGGACCACUAAUUUCUUUCGGUGUUUUUUAGUUUUUAGUAUGCAAGUCUUUUACCUCCUUAGUUAAGUUUAUUCCUAGGUAUUUUAUUAUUUGUGGUGGAAAUUGAAUUGUUUUUCUAAUUUUCUUUUCAGAUAGUUCAGAGUUAGUAUAUAUAAACUAAACUAAUUUUUGUAUGUUGAUUUUGUGUCCUGCAGCUUUAUUGAAUUUGCUCAUUAAAGUUAUAACAGGUUUUUUUAAUGGAGUCUUCAGGGUUUUCUACAUAUAAGAUCAUGUCAUCUGAGAACAAGGACACUUUUACUUCUUCCUUUUCUAUUUGGAUAUGCCUUUUAUUUCUUUUUAUCACCUAAUUAUUUUGGCUAAGACUUCCAGUACUACAUUGAAUAGAAGUGGCAAGAGUGGGCACUCUUGUCUUAUUCCUGGUCUUAGAGGAAAAUCUUUCCAUUUUUCACCAUUGAGUAUGAUGUUUUAGUUGUGGGAUGUCCAUAUAUAGUCUUUAUUGUGUUGAGGUUCUUUUCUUCUAUUCUUAGUUUACUGAGAAUUUUUCUCAUGAAAAGGUGUUGAAUUCUGUAAAAUGAUUUUUCUGUAUCUAUUGAGAUGAUCAUGUGAUUUUUGUCCUUUAUUCUGUUACUGUGUUGUGUUACAUUACUCAAUUUGCAUAUAUUGAACCAUCCUUGCAUCCCAGGGAUAAAUCCCACUUGGUCAUGUUGUAAGAUCCUUUUAACGUGCUGUUGAAUUUGCUAGUUUUGGUUUGCUAGUAUUUUGUUGAAAAUUUUGCAUCUAUAUUUAUUAGGUAUAUUGGCCUGUUGCUUUCUUAUGAUGUCUUUGUCUGGCUUUGGUAUCAGGAUAAUUCUGCCCUCCAAGAAUGUGUUUGGAAAUAUUCCCUCCUCUUCCAUUUCUUGGAAGAGUUUAGGAAAGCUUGGAUUAGUCCUUUAGUAUUUGAUAGAAUUCACCAGUAAAGCAAUUUGCUCCUGAGUUUGUCUUUGUUGAGAGGCUUUAAAUUAUUUUUAAAAAAUUUUAAUGUUUAUUUUUGAGAGACAGAGCACGAGUGGGGGAGGGGCAGAGAGAAAGAGAGACACAGAAUCCAAAGCAGACUCCAGGCUCUGAACUGUCAGCACAGAGCCCAAUGCCAGGCUCAAACUGUGAGAUCAUGACCUGAGCCAAAGUCAGACACUUAACCAACUGAGCCACCCAGGCUCCCCAGGAGAGGUUUUAAGUUAUUAAUUCAAUCUCCAUACUAGUUAUAGGUCUGUUAAGACUUCUUUUUCUUCAUAACUGAGUCUUGAUAGGUUGUGUGUUUCUAGGAAUUUAUUUAUUUCUUCCAGGUUAUCCAGUUUGUUGGCAUUUAAUUGUUCAUAGUAGUUUCUUAUGAUCCUUUGUAUUUCUGUGACAUCAGUUGUAAUAUCUCUUCUUACAUUUCUAAUUGUAUCUACUUACUUCUUUCCGUUUUUCUUAUUUUAGAUAAGGGUUGUCAGUUUCAUUUAUCUUUUUAAAAAACCAAUUCUUAGUUUUGUUGAUUUUUCCUUUUUUUAUAUUUUUUUAUAUUUUCACUUAUUUCUGCUCUAAUCGUUAUUUCAUUCCUUCUGCUAACCUUAGACUUAGUUUGUUCUUCUUUUCCCAGCUCCUUGAGGUGCAAAGUCUUUUACUUGAGAUCUUUCACUUUUUUAAAUGUAGGCACUUAUUGCUAUGAACUCCUCUCUUGGUACUGCUUUUGUUGCAUCCCAUAAGUUUUGGUAUAUUGUGUUUUUGUUCUCAUUUGUCUUGAGAUAUUUUCUAAUUUAUUUUUUAUUUCUUCUUUGACUCAAUGCUUUUUCAAGACUGUAGUGUUUAACUUCCACAUACUCGUGAAUUUUCCAGUUUUCUUUCACUGUUGAUUUCUAGUUUCAUUCCAUUGUGGUCAGAAGAGAUAUUUGGUAUGACUUCACUCUUCUUAAAUUUAUUAAGACUUGCUCUGUGAUCUAAUGUGAUCUAUCCUAGAGAAAGAUUUGUGUGUGCUUGAGAAAAAUGUUUAUUCUGCUGCUGUUGGGUGAAAUGUUCUCAGUAUACCUUUUAGAUCCAUUUGGUGUAUAGUGUUGCUCGAAGUCUCAGUUUCCUUAUUUAUCUUCUGUCUGUAUAGUCUAGCCAUUAUUGAAGGUGGAGUACUGAAGUCUGUUACUAUUACUGUUUUGCUGUUUACUUCUGCCUUCAGUUAUAUCAAUGUUUGCUUUCCACCUUUAGGUGCUCUGAUAUGGGUACAUAUAUAUUUAUAAUUAUAUCUCCUUGGCAGUUCAACACUUUUAUCAUUAUAUAAUAUCCUUCUUUGUCUCUUAUAACAGUUUUAACUUUAAAGUCUAUUUUGUGUGAUAAAAAAGCAUAGACACUCCUGCUCUCUUUUGGUUACCAUUCACAUGGAAUAUCUUUUUCUAUCCUUUCACUUUCAGCCUAUUGUGUCUUUAAAUAUAAAAUGAGUUUCUUGUUGACUGCAUAUAGUGGGAUCUUCUUUUUCUUAUCCAUUUUAGCCACUUUUCACUCUGUGUCUUUUGAUUGCAAUUUAAUCCUUUUACAUUUAAUGUAAUUAUUGAUAAGGAAGAUUCACUAUUGCCAUUUUGCUAAUUGUUUUCUGUUAGUUUUGUAGUUCAUUUUUCUGUCUUGUCCUCUCUUUCCUCCUCUUCCUCUCUCUUCCUUUGUACUUUAUUGAUUUUUUACAUUGAUAUGCUUUGAUUCCCUUCUUUUUUCUUUUGUGUAACAUCUAUAGGUAUUUUUGUGUGUGUGGUUACCUUGGAGCUUAAAUAAAAUAUCUUGUAGUUAUUACAGGCUAUUUUAAGUGAUAACAAGUUAACUUCAGCAAUAUACAAACACUCUGCACUUUAAUUUCUCCAAAUAUGCUUUGUUAUUGCCACAAUUUACAUCUAUUCAGAUUGUGUAUCUUUAAAUAAAUUCUUAGUUAUAGCUGUUUUUUAAUACUUUUGCCUUUUAACUUUUAUAGUAUAAUUAGAAGUGAUUUAUCUAUCACUAUUACAAUAAUACAGUAUUCUAUAUUUGUCUAUACAUUUAAUUUUACCAAUGAGUUUCAUACAUUCUUAUGUUAUUAUGUUGCUGCUUACCAUCCUUUCAUUUCAACUUGAAAAACUCUCUUUAGCAUUUCUUGUAAGGUAGGUCUAGUGGUGAUGGAUUCUCUCAGCUUUUGCUUAUUUGAGAAAAUCUUUAUCUCAUUUUCAUUUUGGAAGGACAGUUUUGCCUGGGUAGUAUUCUUUGUUGGAAGUUUUUUCCUUCACCAUUUUGAAUCUAUCAUCCCACCCUUUUGUGGCCUGCAAGGUUUCUUCUGAAAAAUAAGUUCAUAACCUAACAAGAGUUUCCUUGUAUGAGACAAAUCACUUUUCUUUUGUUGCUUUCAAAAUCCUCUCUGUCUUUGAUUUUUGACAAUUUGAUUAUAAUGUGCCUCAGUAUGGAUUUCUUUGGGUUCAUCGUAUUUGUUGUCUUUUGGGCUCUUUGGAUCUGGAUGUCCAUUUCCUUCUGCAGAAUUGGGAUGUUUUCAGCCAUUUUUUAAAAUGAGCAAUAUAGAUAGAUAGAUAGAUAGAUCUUCUUAAUUGUUUCUCAUAAGUUCUUUAAGCUUUUUCAUGCUUUUAUUGCUCCUCUGGCUAAAUUGUUUUCAAUAACUUUUGAUUCAAGUUUUUAUUUCUUUCUUCUGCUUGGUCUAGUCUGCUGUUGAACCCCUCUAGCAAAAUUUUCAGUGCAAUUAUUUUAUUUUUAGGCUCCAUUAUUUCUGUUUAGUACUUUUUUAUAUUUUCUAUUUCUUUAUUGAAAUUUUCACUCUGUUCAUGCAUUGCUUUCUUGGCCUCAGUGCACAUCUUUAUGAUAAUUAUUUCGAAUUCUGUCAGACAAAUGAUAUAACUCCAUUUCAUUAGGGUCAGCUUUAUCAUGUUCCUUUGUUUAGAACAUCUUUGUCUAAUUCUUCAUUUUAUUUAACUCUCUGUGUUGGUGUCUGCACAUUAGACAAAGCAAGCACCUCUAUUAGUCUUCACAAACUGGCCUCAGACAAGAGAAGACUCUCACCAAUCAGCCUAGCCAGAGAUUCUGGGGGCCUCUACCAACUUUUUCCUUCCCCUACCAACUGUGCUUUUUUUACACUCACUCUGUGCCGAGCAAGGAACUUUGGAGCUAUGGCACCUACCAGUCUAAACCACCAUCUCCAUUUCCCCUAGAUGGCUGGAAAUGGAUCCAUCCAAGUUCCACAUCUAGCAAGAAAGAAACAAGUCCUCUGGGUAGCUUCUUUAGAAAAGCUGGGGUGCUGGAUGCAGAAACCUACCUCCUCCUUCCCCUGAGAGAAUCUGGGUGCCAAGGGGUUUCUCCCUGAUCAUAUAGCACUUUACUGGAUGCAGGGACUCUGGUAAGAGGGUGUCCCAAGCCUUCCUACUGGCCUUAGAGAGUGUGGUUUUAUGUUCACCUGGGAUACAGGAGCCUUUCAAUUCAUUUCUGGAUUUCUAACAGAAGGGAAUUUGUUCAUAAAUUGUUGUUGAAUUGGUUUGUUUGUGAGGGGAAAACAGGGCACAGGGCUUCCUACUCCAUCAUCUUAUUUACAUUACUCUGGAUGUUAAUCUUCUGUUCAUCCGUUUACUCAGCAUCAGAAAAUUCUUAUAGUUUCCUGUCUUUUCCUCUCUUUUCAGACACAGUAGCACAAGAGACAAACAGCCUUCUGUUCCUGCUGAGAGAUUGCUAAUAAGCACUAGUCCUCAGCUCCAUGAGUUGCAGAAUGAGUCAGUAAUACAGCCGCAGGCUUUAGGACAGUAGGCAUAUAUGACCAGCUCUCCCUCACUUUGCCUCUGGCCCCUUUUCUCCUAACACUAUGACUCUCAGGGCUGUAGACAAGCAAGUCCAAAUUGGCAGCUCACCCCUCCAGGGGGACUCAGGGGGCAAGAAGCCCUCAAGCUCAGCAUCUCACAAGUACUCAGAAGAUAUAGGCACAACUGUGUUCUCUACCCUUUGAAGAACUUCUUGAAGACCUUCAGAAGCAGAAGGAAGGUCUUAUUCCCUUCCCUUCCUCCUAUCCACAUCUUCCACCUGCCCGUUUACCACCUCAGUCAGCAUCUGAGGAAACAGAUGGAUAAGCAGCUACUGUUACAGAAAGGCCAACAUGAAGAUUCCAAUACUGGGGCCAUGUUGCUGGUCAGAAUCCAUCAGCCAUUUGCAAUAGCAUUUUUGAUGUUUUCAAAUCAUUUCUUGACUAUUUUUUUAAUCCAAUACCCAUUUUAGAGAUGAAGAAACUAAGGCAAAGAAGGAAGUGGAUCCCUGAGUGAGUCAAUAGCUGAAGUGGGGCCAGAGCCCUGGUUUCUUGCCUCUUUUGGCUCCUUCCAUUCUAUGUGAGCCCUGAAAGUUUGGAAUGAAGGAUUCAGAAGAUGGUGACCUGUAUGUCUACUACCUGUUAAUUAGUCAGCCUGAACUUCUUUGUAGGCCCUAGGAACUCAGGGCUUCACUCUAAACAAAGGACUGGCCAGGAUGUGGAAAGGGAAGGCCAAUGUCUUCAUCCUGGUUUUGUCACUCAAGCUCUAGACUCCUAGAUAUCACACACUGGCCAUGUAUGAAGAGUGAUCCUGGAGAGAAGGGCACCCAGGGAGGUCAGGAGCAGAGCUUGGGUGAGAAACCAGACCCUCACCUUCUCUGGGUCACUACAGGGCACUUACACAUUCUGCCCUGCUAUGGUUGCCUUUCUGAGCUUCACUUUCCCCAUUUGUAAAGUAGAUUUAACAUUCUCAUCAACUGUCUUAUAGAGGCUAUUAGAAAGCUCAGAGGUGAUAGGGUUAAGUGAGUCAUCUGUAAUCUCUGAAGUAGUAUCUGCACCUGACUUGGCACUCAAUCCCAUUCAUGGAGCAGCUACUGGGAGACAGGUGCCAAAUUAGGCAUUGUAUGUGAAUCAUUUCCAACUAGGCCUCAGAGGACAAGUGACUUAUCCAAUGACACUCAGCUGUUCACUGACAGAAAUGAGAUGAGAGCCUUUUCUGAUCAGUCCCAGAGGUCUGACACUAAGCUGGAGGUCAUAUUGCUGUGUGCAUAAGGUUGUUAGAUUUAACAAAGAAAGGACCCCAGUUACAUUUGAAUUUCAGAUAAAUAAUAAACAAUUUUUAGUGUAAGUAUAUACAUUGAGAUAUUUGGAACACAGUUAUACAAAAAAAUUAUUUGUUUAUCUAAAAUGCAAAUUUGACUGGGCAUGCUGUAUUUUUUUCAGCAACCAUAUGUGUAUAUGGAAUUGGCAUUGCAGGAGCAGCAGGUAGGCAGGCUGUCUAUAUAUUCAUUUUGAAGCAUCUAGUCAGCAGGCAAUAUGCCAGGGAAAGAAAUGAUCUCCCCACCAAAGCAAGUCACUGGUACUGUUCUCAGCUUGGGGCUACCAUAAACUAUGGUACUGAUGAAAAAGCCUGAUACUUUGUCCUGAUGAAAACCCCUCACCUAGGCUUAGGGCCCUUCUUUUUCCUUUCCUAACUGUUCCCAAGACCCUAUUUUUUCCAUUCAUUGGGACCCAUUUGGGGGUUAUUUUUAAAAUAUUUUAUCAAGGAUAAAAAGGAUAUUUUAAAGAUAGGCAAAGGUUUAAAUUCUAAGUCCAUCUAAAGAUGAGGACUAGGAUUUUUAAAAAGUGUUGCUACCUGUUUCUGGCCAAGAUGAAAUAACAGAUAUCAAAUUUACUCUCCUUCCUAAACAAUCAACAGACAAUAUGUAUUUUUAAAAACCAGUAUUUUUCAAGAUGGUGGAUAUCAGGUAAUGAAAGACAAAGAUGGGACACAAAUUAAGUGAGUGCUACAACUGUCCCAGCUUAUUGCCUAGAGAGAGAUGCCAGGCUGUGGGACAGGGAGGGAAAAUCCAGAAAAGAGCUUGGUGCUUAGCAUAUGGAAGGAAGCCUAAGACAAGUACACAAUGCCAGAGCAAGUGACUUCUUUCACUUUAUGUGUUGUACUAGUUUCCUAUAGCUGCUAAAACAAAUUGCCACAAACUUAGUGGCUUAAAAUAACGCAAUAUAUUAUCUUACAGCUCUGGAGAUCAGAAGGCAGAAAUGAUUUGGCAGGACUCCAUUCCUUCUGGAGGUUCUAAGAGAGAAUCUAUUUCUUUGCCUUUUCAAGCUUCUAGAGGCGCCCAUAUUCCUUGGCUUGUAGCCCCACAUCACUCCACUUCUGCUUCUUUCAUCACAUCUCCUUCUCUGUUAACAACCCUCCUGCAUCCCUCUUAUAGAGACCCUGUGAUUACAUUUAAAGCUAAUCCAGAAAAUCUAGGAUUAUCCCUCCAUCUCAAGAUCCUUAAAUCAGUCACAUUUACAAAGUCCCUUUUGGCAUGCCAGGUAACAUACUCCUAGGUUCUGAGGAUUAGAACAUGGACAUCAUCAAGGAGCAUUAUUCAACCACAGUGAGAAGGGUGCUUAUGUUUUCAUGAAUAAAUGAUGAUGAUAAGGCCAUUUUCUUUUGAGUACUUACUAUCUGCCAUAGAGUUUUGCAUUUAACUCUUGCAGGGACCCUAAAAGGGUAUUAUUCCAUCCUUAUCCUUUCAGUUGCCAAAACAACCCAGCUAGGAAGUGGGGGAUCUGGGGGAAGCUUCUAUUCUGAGGGGUAUACGUACUCCCUCAUGUCUGUUCCUAAACAUCUGACCACUUAUGUUACAAAGUUCUAUGUUAAUAUUCCAUCUUCUGCAUUUCUUUUUUUGAAAACAGCUUUAAUGUUUUUGCAGAGAAAAAUGAUACAUGCCCAUUUAAAACUGAAAACAAUAGUGAAAGUGCAAAGAAAAAUUAGGAUCACACUAAAUCUCAUUUUCCAAAGAUAACUAUUGUUAAUGUUUGGCGAACAUUCUCCAGACUGCUGUCUAUGCAUCAUAGAUAUGCUGUUCUAUAAAGCACUUAAUCUCCACCCUACAUCGUGACUAUCUUCCCAUGUCAGUACUUGUCAACUCCUUAAAACAGGCCAGCUGAGUCAAAGGCUGUGUACAUUGUACAUGUUAGUACACAUUGCCAAACAGCCUUCAAAAUGUAUCAAUUUGCAGUAUUUACCAAAAUUGCAAGACCUUCGCUGGUUUAGUCAACCUUUUAUUUUAUUUUUUUUCUAUAAUUUAUUGUCAAAUUGGCUUCCAUACAACACCCAGUUCUCAUCCCAACAAGUGCCCUCCUCAAUGCCCAUCACCCAUUUUCCCUCCCCCGCAACCCCCAUCCACCCUCAGUUUGUUCUCUGUAUUUAAGAGUCUCUUGUGGUUUGCCUCCCUCCCUCUCUGUAACUAUCUUUGGCAAUUUGAUGGGUGAAAAAUAACAUCUUUUCUUGGCAUUGCUUUGAUUAUUAUUGAUAACAUCUUUCCACACAUUUAUUGGCCAUCUAUACUUAUUCUCUUGGGGAAUGGUCUAUUCAGGGCCUUUCCCUAUUUUUCUAUUGGGAUGUUUGCUCUUUUCCUUAUGAUUUGCAAGAGCUCAUUGUGGAGAGGGCUAUAAGGCCUGUGUCAUAUCUGUGGCAAAUAUUUUUCUCACACUGUGUUAUUUUAUAUAUUUUUUAUAUAUCGUGUAUGACAUAUAUAAUCUGGUUUAUGGCAUUUUCUACCUAGAAGGUUUUCAUGUAUAUGCAGUCAAAUUAAUGACCUUUCUCUCUAUGGCUUCAAGGUUUUCUGUCACAUUUAGGAAAACCUUCUAUAACCCCAAAUGAGAAUUUCUAUAAUGAAAAGAGCUCCAUGUGUUCUUCUUGUACUUUUAUGGCUUCAUAUUCAACAUGGGAAGUCUAUGGCACAUUUGGAGUUUGUUUUGUGUAAGGAUUGAGGUAAAGGUGUGACUAUAGUUUUCUAAAUAGCUAUCACCAUUUAUGGAGUAAUACAUCCUUUUAACACUGAUUUUAAAUAGCACCUUUAUCAUACACUAAACUUGCAUAUAUACUUGGAUAUAUUUUUGGACUUUCUGCUCUAAUCAAUUGAUCUUUUUUUUUCCCCCUGUGCAGGAAUUUUUUGCUUCCCUAGCUGGUAGGGAGAGUUUGUCUUCAUUGUUCUUCUUUCUGAAUAUUCAUGGCAUGUGCUUAUUCUUCUUGAUGAUCUUUUGAAUAGUUUUAUCCAGUUCUGAAAAUCCUUUUACAAUUUUUAUUGAGAUUUUAUUGAAUUUACAGAUCAAUUUAUGGAUAAUUGGUGUAUUUUCUUUUUUAAAUGUUUUUAAAUAUAAUUUAUUGUCAAAUUGGUUUCCAUACAACUCAGUGCUCAUCCCAACAAGUGCCCUCCUCCCUGCUUAUCACCCACUUUCCCCUCUCCCCUACCCCCCAUCUGCCCUUAGUUUGUUCUCAGUCCUUAAGAGUCUCUUAUGGUUUGGCUCCCUCCCUCUCUGUAACUUUUUUCCCCCUUCCCCUCCCCCAUGGUCUUCCAUUAAGUUUCUCAAGAUCCAUGUAUUUUCAAUGUUGACUUUUCAUACCCAAGAACAAAGCAUGUUUCUCCAUUUCCCCAGAUCUUCCUUAAUGCCCCUUCAUAGAGCUUUAUAGUUGUAUUUCCUGUGGUUGCUGUAACAAAUUAUCACAACCUGGGUGGUUUAAAACAACCAGAAUUUAUUCUAUCACAGUUCUGAAGACCAUAAGUCCAAAAUUCAUAUCAGCAGGCCAAAAUUAACGUGUCAUCAGGGCUGCAGUCCUUCCAGAGGCUCCAGGAGAGAAUCUGUUCCUUAUCUCUCCCAGCUUCUAAGGCUCUGGCAGUCCUUGGUUUAUGGCUACAUCAAGCCAAUCUCUGCCUCCACAGUUACAUUGUCUUCUCUGUGUGUCAGUGUCGCAUCUCUUCCUGGCUACCUCUUAAAAGGAUACAUGUGAUCCUUGCUUUUGGUCCCACCUAGAUAAUCUAGAAUAAUUUCCCUAUAUCAAAAUCCUUAAAUUAAUCAUACUUGCCAAGUUACUCUUUCCAUAUAAGGUCACAUUUACAGGUUCCAGGCUGGGGGCCAUUAUUCAACCUACAACACUACUUUUUGCUACCACUUAGGUUUUGAAGCAGUGUAUUCCCAUGGCUGUAACUCUUCUUUAAACACCUACUAGUCUCUCUUUUAUUAAGCAAAUCAUGAAUAAUAAAUAAAAUUAAUCGAUUGAUUGAUUGAUCUCUGCUUGAUCUAGAGAUGGGAGUAAGGAGAGGGUCCUGGAGGGGUACUGUGGAGGAGAGGACAAUUAAAACUAUGCCAGAACUCACUAUAAAGAUCUGACUCUUUGAUUCCUGAAUUCACAAACCUGGAGGUCUCAUCCUCUGCCCUAGUUUUGAGACCCAAUUUCUCAAUUGCCUCUGAAAGUGAUAUACUAACUGGUAUGCAUUGAACACAAAUUCAUGUUUGCAUAUGCUGAGUGAACAGGGAAUUGUGGAGACAGAUUCCCUAACUUGUGCCCUUUACCCUGAGACAACCUCUUAAAACCGUAUUCUUUGCCAGCUUGGAAUGCAGCAGGCAGAAUAGCAAGGUGGCUGAGUUGGAGUCAAGAAAGCUGAAUUUUGACCCAGCUAUAUUCCUGCUAGCUGGAUGUGACUGAUCACUUAGCCUCUCUGGGCCUCACUUUCUUUGUCUUUGAAUGGGGAUGUCGAUAUCGUUGUUGCCUACCUCACAGGGCAGAGGCCAAGCAUGCAUGACUUUUACGCACCCGCAAGAGUACAGCUUGUGCAGAGUGAACACUGAUGGCCAUCUGAGCAUGUACUCCCAGGCGGCAAGUGGUGGACUGACCCAAAGUCUGGGCAGGCCGUGUAGGAGGAACCAGACCCCUUGGAGACAUCAAGGCAGGCCUGCAGUGAGGUACAUGUGCUCACAUACCACCCCUGUCUCUUAGCAGCCCAGACCUGGGGCCUGGUAGCUGAGAGAUUUGCUGCUCAUGUUGAGCCUUGUAAAUGAAUAAAGCAGGUAAUUUCACAUUGAUAUGACAACUACAGGAGAGAUUUUGCCCAUGGUUGCUUUGUUGCCUGGGGUUUCCUUGUAGCCAACUUUAAGGCCACAAUUUCUAUAUUCUUUCUCAUCUCUCUCUACCUCCCCAUAGAGGUGGGAGUGGUAGGUGGAAAUUAAGAAAAAUCUACAUUCCUUGGGAAGAUUAGUGAGUUUGGCUUUUUGGAAUAAAUCUUAGUCCUGAAUGAACACAUUGUUAAUGUGGUAUCUAGGGGAGAGCAGAAAGAAAAAUGGCAUACUGUGCACUAUCUUGGAUUCCAGAAAGAGAAAGCCAGUUUGUGAGUGCUAAGGCCUCCUGUUAGCUGGCCUUCUGCUCUAAGGCAUCCCUGUGGCCCCUCCUCUGCCCCUCUGGGAUAGGCCACCUGAAUCCUCAGUCCUCAAUUUCUCCAGUGUCAUGCCCUGAUGCUCCAACAACCACAUAAAAGGGCUGUCUUCCCCACCCCAAGCCCAGUGCCCCUAAUGUUCUUCUUCCUACCCUGACUCACAACUGCAUCCUUCCCCGCUCCCAUGCUGGCCUCUGCACUCACUGAGAAGCCACCACAGUGCCUUUAAUAGCACAUGGCUUCAGCAUCUGUGGAGAACAGCAGUGAGGACCAUCGGAGUGCUGGGGUGCUGAAAAGCACAGGCAUUCAGAUCCCAUUGCCCAUGGAGCAUGCAGUAUUCCAAGGAUGAUGCAAUCCAUAUCAUCCCCAGGCUAAGUUCCCAGAGGUCCCUAAGACCAGCAAAUAAGCUGCCCCAGAGCCCUGUUGGCUGCCUACCUCACCCUCACCUGCUGCCAUUCUCCAUCAUCACAUAUACCAAUCUGCUUCUGGCACACUGUCCCCAUGAGUGCCCUUUUCUGUACAGAACAGGAAGUUACUCCCUUCCCACUUGAGUGAACCUUGGGGCCGGCCAGCUUUCUCUGUGCUAUGUGAUGAUUUCUGUCACCCACUCAAGGUAAAAUUGUCCCUUGCCUGUUUCCUUCAGGUCCCCAGCCCAGAACAAGCCUCUCUAAAGCAAAGUGAAUUGGGUAGAGUCUCCUCAAGGGUCCAGGAAAGUGAACAUUUAGUGGUUGUUCCCUGACUAAUGCUGACUCAAAUCCAAGAAUCCACAGUUGGUCUAACUUCCUCAUUCCUUAAUUGGGGAAACUGAGGCACAGGGAGAUCACAUCUUUAGUCCUCAUCAGGGUUGAAUCCAAGUCUCUUGAUUUCCAGUCCUGUCCUCUCUGUACCUCACCACCCUGCUUGCCCUUUGGGCACGUGGCUGACAGGGCCAGCCUUCCUCAGCUUACCACUCUCAAAAUAACUUUGACAAGAACUCAGAUUUCACAGUCAUGUCAGUGGGGUGUUAAAUGUGGGCGUGAAGGGUGGCUGAACAGUGGCAUCUUUAACUUAUUGGGAGUCAGCCUAUAACUGCGAGGCUCAGAGCCAACAGCUGCGAGCCUGACAGGCCUGGAUCCCGUGGCAGUGGAGACAGAUUCACCUUAGGGAGCCCAGUAACAUCCGAAUGGACUCCAGUAAAAGAACAUGUUUUUUUACUUUGAUAAACAAAGGCGUUGUAGGGGGUGGCCAUGGGGAACUACCAAGCAGGUAUAAGAGUACCUCUCAAGUUUGAGCCCCUAGGGCCUUCCCAGGGUAUCUUGGAAACUUCCACCUACCAGUUGUCAAAGUGGCCGUUAAUCCUGCUGAGUACAGAACUGGGGGACUGGAGUGUUCCCUGGGGCUGAAACUGAGACAGGCCUGUAGCAAGAAUGCUUAGUGUAAACUUAUUUGCUCUUCCAAAGCCCAAGCAACCUGGGCACAGAAAGCAGCUAAGCAAAGAUGAAGGCCCCUUAAAGCGCUGGGCAGACUGUGCUGCCGUGAUCUUGUAAUCUCCUGUGAAGAAAGGAUUAUGGGUCCACCAUGCAAACAGCCAGAGGGAGGGCCAACUGCAGUGGUGGCUCUUGAGCUACACACAGUGUGAGAGCCAAGAGGUACAGUGUCGGCAUUCUUGUCAACGUCCUUGUUAUCAUUGUGGCCCUCCAAAUGACUACCUGCCAUUUAGUGCCUUCUAUGUGCCGAACAUGUGGUAAGCAUUCACUUCUACCCUGAUUCUCUCAACCACCCUGUGAAAUGGGUAUUGGAGUUAGCUAUCUUUUAUAGAUAAGGAAAGCAAGGCUCAGAGAGAUGAAGUUACUCACCAGCCUCCCAGCUGGUAAGCAAAUGGCAAUGAGGUAAAUGGGACCUGGCUCUUGUUCUCAAGAUAUCAAGAUAGAGACGGAGUAAAAGGUAAAGAACUCCCAUUUAUUGGGUAUCCACUAUGCUCCAGGAAUGGUACAUGCAUUUUUCCGUUUAAUCCUCAAAAUAGCCCCACGAAGAUGUUACUAUUAAUAUCUCCCAGUUUAGGGGUCAGGAAAAUGCAUUCUGCUAAGUUAAACAACUUGAACAAGGGAUCACAGCUAAUAAAAGGAGAACUGGGAUUCGAACCACUGAGCCAGUGGUUCUCAAACUAUUUGGUCUCUUUUUGUAUUCUUAAAACUUAUUGAGGGCCAAUCCACAGACACAGAAAGCAGAUCAGGGGUCGCCAGGGGCUGGAGGGAUAAUAGAACGGGGAGUGACUGCUCAGUGGGUAUGGAGUUUCCUUUUGGGGUGCAAAAAAAUGUUCUGGAACCAGAUAGAGGCGAUGGUUGCACAACAUUGUGAAUGUAAUAAAUACCAAUGAAUUGUAAAAUUUUAAAUGGUUACAAAAAUAAAAUGUUUAAUUUUAUGUCAUGUGAAUUUCACUUCAAUUGAAAAAGAGGUAAAUGAACAACAACAACAAAAAUUUGUUGUGGACCCCAAAGAGUUUUUGUUUACGUGGGUUAUAGAUCUCUGUGUUAGCCAUAUUAGCAACACAACUGUUAAAAUAUUUAUUUAUCUAUCUAUUUAUUUUGAAAUUAAAAUAGUAAACUUAUUUCCUGUGAAUAUAAAUAAUAUUUUAGGGGCACCUGGGUGACUCAGUCAGUUAAGCGUCUGAUUCUUCAUUUUGGCUCAGGUCAUGAUCUUACAGUUCAUGAGUUUGAGCCCCGCAUCAGGCUCCACGCUGUCAGUUUGGGAUUCUCUCUUUCCCUCUCUCUCUGCCCCUCCCCCACAUGCACACGUGCAUGGCACUCUCUCAAAACAAAUAAAUAAACUAACUAAAUAAAUAAAUAAGUAAAUAAAUAACAUUUUAAUGAAAAUAACUGUAUUUUCCAAAACAAAAACUCAUACUGAAAGCAGUUGCAUUAUUUCACAUUUUUUUCAAAUUUCUCUAAUAUCUGGCUUGAUAGAGGACAGCUAGAUUCUCACAUCUACUCAAUUCAGUAAUGAUAUAUUCUCAUGGUUGAAGUAUGUGAGGGAAAUCCAGCCUCACGCAGAUAGCAAUUGGAGAAGGAAGGAAUAUUUUAAUUGACUUUUCAUAUAAUUAUUGACACUCUUCUUUGAUAUGACACCGUUACUCGACCAGUAGUUGUUUCUUACAGGUUAAGUGCAGUGUGGAAUGUGAAAUUAUAUUAAUGAACUUCCCAUACCUGAUUCCACUGACCCCCACAGGACUCUCUUAUCCUUUGAAUGGAUCCUUUACACAGCUAUGGGUUAGUAACAUCCUACUUUAGUCACCUGGGAAAUAUAAGUGCCCUUGACUUAUGCAGAACUUCCCAUAUGUUGAUACAUUUCACUCUACAACAUCAAAAAAAUCACAUUUUGUUACCAUAACCAUCCAUCUCAUUGGAAGAAGUCUUUAAGUAUUGGGAAGCUGUCAACUUGGAUACAAGUUUUUCAAAUUUUUAAUUUUGGCUUUAAAGCUGAAAUUUUAUCAUUGGCAAAAAAUACUAUCAGUUGUUUUCCUUGAAGUGAUGGGCUCACUUUGUUCAUUUACGAGAAAAUGUCUGCCAAAUACCCAAAUCUGAAUAACAUUAGUUAGUCAUUCUUUCAAGUAAAUAUGAUGUUCUAUGAAAAAUCAGCCAAUUCAGUUCACAAUUCAAAACAAUCACACGGCUGCUUUGCCUUGAGUCAACUGUUGGGCUUUGAUUUCCAGCAGAAGUGCUUUAAGCCUAUUUCCCAUUUUGUCACACAGAAUUUUUAAAAUAUGGGUAGUCAAGGGUCAAUAUUUAAUAAAGUUAAUUAUUACUGCUUUGCUGACAACAUUCUUAAGUGAAGCUGGUUUGUUGUUUUUUUUUUUUAACUGCAAGCACUUGGCAGUGAAGAAUCCAAUGACAGCUAGUACAAUUUGGUGCCACUGCCCUGAUUCACACUCAGGCAUCUGCUGUUUUACUCACUACUGCUUUUUUUUUUAAGUAUAAUUAACAUGCAAUGUUAUUUUAGUUUCAGGUGUAUAACAUAUUGAUUCAACAAUUCUAUACAUUACUCAGUGCUCACCACAAUAAGUAUAAUCCCCAUCUGACACCAUACAAGGCUAUUUCAAUAUUAUUGACUAUAUUCCCUAUGCUGUACUUUUCAUCCCCAUGACUUACUCGUUUUAUAACUGGAAAUUUAUACCUCUUCAUCCCCUGCACCUAUUUUACCCAUCCUCCCACCCACCCAUCCUCUGGCAACCAUCAGUUUGUUCUCUGUAUUUAAGAGUUUGUUUUUUAGUUUGUUCAUUUGUUUUGUUUUUUAGAUUCCACAUGUAAAUGAAAUUAUUCGGUAUUUGUGUUUCUUUUUUUAAUUUUUAAUGUUUAUUUAUUUUUGAAAAACAGAGAGAGACACAGAAGGAGAAGGGGAAAGGCAAAGAGAGGGAGACACAGAAUCCAAAGCAGUCUCCAGGCUCUGAACUGUCAGCACAGAGCCCGAUGCGGGGCUUGAACUCACAGACUGUGAGAUCAUGACCUGAGCCAAAGUCAGACACUUAACCAACACCUAGGUGCCCCUGUGUUUCUUUAUCUGAUUUAUUUUACUUAGCUUAAUACUCUCCAGGUCCAUCCAUUUUGUCACAAAUGGCAAGAUCUCAGUAAUCCCAUUGCUGGGUAUUUACCCAAUGAAAGCAAAAACACUAAUUCAAAAAGAUAUAUGCACCCCUAUGUUUAUUGCAGCAUUAUUUACAAUAGCCAAGAUAUGGAAGCAGCCCAAGUGUCCAUCAACAGAUGAAUAGAUAAAGAAGAUAUGAUGUGUAUAUACACAAUGCAAUGUAACUCACCACUGCUUUUGCACUGUCUGUACCAAUGUCAGUCCAGUAGAAAAGUCAAAGAACAUUUCAGUGUUAUUGUGAAAAUAGUUUUGACCUUGAAGAUCCCCUAAAGGGGUCUUACAGACCUCCAGCACUCCAUGGAUCUCACUCUGAGAACAGGUGUAUGAGGCUAUGCAUACAUCUGCUCAUGCCACCUCCCUUAAUUAGGACCUUUGAUGGCUUCCUAUCACCUGUAGAAUCAGGCCUGACCUUGGCCCACACUGUUGGCCCAGGACACAGGGUUCUAGCCAAAUAAUCCCCUCACCAUUUUCCAAAUAUGUCCUUCCAUGCUCUUGCCCAUGCUUUCCCCUAUACCAGAAUGCCCUCAUCACCAUCUCUGGCUAUUGAAAUACUACUUACCCUCCAAGAUCCAGGUCAACUAUUGCCUCUUCCAGGGAGCCUUCCAAGGUUUUUAAGUGAAAACAAUCAUGUUUUCCUCUGAACUUCCUGAUCCCACUCUCAAGACAUCUUCUCUAGCACUUAGCAGGCUGGUGUUAUAUUAGAAGGUGGUGUGUCCUCAUCUGUGAGCUCCCCAAAGGCGGACACUGAGUCUUUCCUCUCCGUUUCCCCACAGGACAGCCUUGUUCAUCACUGGGGUGGUAGAUGUUUGGUGACUUGAACUCCACUGCAGGGAUUCAGCUCUAGUGCCCAGAAUGUAAAACUUGAAAAUGCCAUGUGGCUAUAGCUGUGAAUGCUCAAAUCUCAAGGAGUGUGUUCUGACUUGCAUCCCCAAGGAAUGUCACCAUCAGUAUUGACACUUGCCCAUGCUUCUUAAAAAUGAUCUUAUUGCAGGGGUAGGUACUAAUUCUGGGCUACUCUAACCCCACGAUUCUUGGCUCCUAGGGCAGGAAGAAUCCUCAAAAGGGAGAAAGCCCCCUGGGACCAGAUUCUCCUGAAGGUGCUAUGUCUCUUAUCUCCUGUUUCUCAUGUAACACAGUUCAUGGCCCUGUGCUGUACCAUAGGUCACACUGGAAGCCCAGAUGCUCCCCUCCCAGUUUUCCUCAAUGGCUUGCAAUUCAAACAGGAUCAUGCUAAUGGCUCCCAAAGAUCACCCAACACUCUGCUCCCAUGUGCCCAGCCCUACCUGGGCUGGAAGACUUUGUCUCAUUUAGAGCUCACCUUAGGACCUUGUAGAAUCACAGUUGAUGCCUGCAGAGAUGCACUUGUUUGUUUCAAAUGCCAAUUUAAUUUUGAUGCCUUUGGCCUCAAUAGUUGUUUCCUGAUUUCCAGGAAUUGCUCUCAAUUUAGCAGUUGCCAGCUCACAGCUCUAUGCACCAGCCCUUUGCCUGCCUGUUGUGCUAUAACUUCUCUCUCCUCAUUGAUCAUGUUGGCUGGCAGGGGGAUGGAGGGGAGAAAGAGAGACCUAUACAGGCUGUAUGUAGCAUGACUCAUUUGAAGGAGGCGACCUGGGCAGUGGUGACUGAGGGACUCUGAAUGAGGGCCCAGAGAACCCAGAGGGCAAGACAUGGAGACGGGCAAGGAGUAUAGUCAACUGCUCAGUAUGAAAUGGUGCCACAAUGGCGGACUCAGAUAAACAAUCAGGACCUUGGGCUGCAUCAACAGAGGCAAAGUAUUCAGAACAAGGGAGGUGAGUGUGCUGCUCUCUUCUGUAGUUUAGUGUAUAAGGCAUGGACUCUGUAAGCAGAAUGUCUGAUUUGACUUUUGACUACCACUUAUCUCCAUGCCUUUGGGCAGGUUACUUAACACCUCUGAGACUCAGAUGGUUUGUUUCAUCUUUUCAAUGAGUAUAGUAAUAGAAACUACUUUAAAGUAGCUGUCAGGAGGGUUCAUUGGGAUGCUAGAUGCCAAGUGUUUGGCAGUGUCUGGUCUGUACAGCCCCCCUCUACUGUGCUCUGGCCAGUCACCAACCAGAUAUUCUGGCUAGUUCUGGGCCCCGCACCCAGAAGGACCCUAUCAAACUAGAGCAUAUCUGAAGGAGGAAAGGCUGGGAGCAGAAGAACUCCCAUUUGUCUAGUGGGAGAGAGGGCAUCUACUGAUGUGGCUCGCAGGUUCCUUGAGGAUGGGGAUGGGUGGCAGAAGUGACUACGAUGCAGGUUCUGGUGCAAUAGAGGGAAGAAGACCCCUCAAGGAUUCAGAAUCAUGCUAGUACUGGCUGCCUUAGCAAGGAGGGAAGUUGAGACUGAGGCUCCUUUUGGCAGAGGCAUACCACGAGAGACUAGAUGGCCACAAAGAAAUGUUGCAGGAGUGGGAGAGUGUUGAAUGGCAGCCAGGCUCAGGCCUCCAGGGUGUCUGGAGUGCAACUUUGUUCUGUGCCUACCCCAGGCUGCAAACUGCAAAGGCAUUCUGCUCUGGCUUAGCUUACUUUGAGGGGUGCAGACCAUUCCUAGGGACCCACGAGUUGCACAGCAGCCAAGGGCAUCCCUGUUGGAAGUGCAGAGGAACACCACCAGUGUGUUUGCUCUCGGUGCCACAGCAGCUGGAAUCUGGUAUAUGCCACCACUGCCCCUCAGGGCCCUCAGCAGCCAUACAGAAAACAAUGCACCACCAUAGCUUCCUGGGCAGCUGUGGGCACCCGAGCUGGAAGAACCCCCUGCAUUCUUCACUCCAGCCCUCUCCUUUUCCAGUUGAGGGGCCUGGAGCCUGUGGGGAGCAAGGCCUUCCAGUGUCACACUGAGAUGUAGGAAUGGAGUCACGAACCCUAAAGUUUUGUCCUGCCUUGUGCCCAGGGACCCUGAAGGCUCAUUCCCCUUGCAAAUGUAAAUGAGAUGGGCUGGGCCCUCACCAGGCCCUGAGUGCAGCAGGCUUAUCCGGGCAAUGAGAACCUAGGGGCUGUGUGCCAAGUCCCUGCUCUGUCCCUCACUUGCCAGGAGACCUUGAGGCAGGGCAGCUUCCUCCCAUGAGGCCUCAGGUACUCCAGUUCUGAAAGGAGAAGGUGGCAGUUGGUCUUGUCAAUGGCCUCUGUGCCCUGAUGGCCAGGCUUCUAGGAAGUCAGUGACCUGUGAUCCAUUGGUGGGGAUGGAUGGAGUAGGGUAAACGUGGCUCAAAAAAGAUAUGUCCAAGCCCUAACCUCCAGAUACUGUGAAUGUGCCCUCAUUCAGAAAAAGGGUCUUUGGAUGUAAUGAAGUUAAGAAUCUCGAAAUGAGAUCAUCCUGGAUUAUCCUGGUGGAGCCCAAGUCCAAUGGCAAGUGUCCUUAUAAAAGACAGAGGAGGAAGAAGACACAGAGCAGAAGGGAGGCCAUGUGAAGUAAGAGGCAGUGAUUGGGGUGAUACAGCCACAAGCUAAGGUACACCAAGGAUGCUGGCUACCACCAGAAACCAGAAGACACAGGACCUGCCUCUAGAGCCUUCGGAGAGAGUGCAGCCGUGUCAACACCUGGAUUUUGGACUUCUGGCCUGCAGAACUAUGAGACAAUACAUUUCUGUUCUUCUGAGUCACACAGUUUGUGGGAACUUGUUGCAGCAGAGCUCCGGGAAACUCAUACAGUGCACCGUGCUACUCCUGAGACCCUGAGCCUAUGGACCAUGCAAGGGCCCAGCCCCUGCCAACUGGACCCAAGGAGCUCCUAAGUGGCUGACCAUUGCCUGGCUGGGGGGAGCCCCUUUGCCUUCCACUGAAGGCUGAGACAACAUGAUGCCCCAUCCCCUGCAAGGCCCACUCACUGACCAUGAGCUCCCAGCUUUGUAAUUAACUGCUUUGGAAGGGGAGGUGCGCAUAUGAAGCCUGUGGAUCGACAAUAAUUAGAUUAAUAAAAACAAAUUUACCCAGCACCAGAACAGGCACAGAAAGGCACAUUAGGUGUGGAGCUCUCAGAGGAUCCUCCUGCCUGAGCUGCCCCGUCCUCUUCUGCUUGACAGAGGCCUUGGGUAAUUUGUGUCUGAGGAGAGGAAAUUUGCCUAUGUUAUGAGUAGCAACCUUUGUUUUCACUCUCCCUGGCUAAUAUGAGCUGAAUAUUUGUGUCCCCACACUUUUAUACGUUGAAGCCAUACUUCCCUAUGUGAUGGUAUUUGGAGGUAAGGCCUUUGGGAGGUAAUUUGGGUUAGAUGAGGUCAUGAUGGUGGGAUCCCCAUGAUGGGAUUAAUGUCCUUGUAAGAAGAGGCCCCACAGAUUCCUCUUCGCAUGCGCAUGCACCAAGGAAAGGCCACAUGAACACACAGCAAGAAGGUGUCUAUUACAAGCCAGGAAGUAGGCCUUCACCAUGAGCCAGAUCUUCUGGCACCUUGAUCUUGGACUUCCAGUCCCCAAAACUAUGAUAAAUAAAUGUCUGUUGUUUAAGUCACUGUAGAAGCCCAAGCAGACGAAGACACUGGCCUGGUGAUUGCUGCACGGUGGCUCGCCAAGUCUGAAAAGGAGGCAUCACAAUCACUGGGUAGCCAUACAGUGUCCCCAGGAGUGGAAGGCAACCUGGCCUGGGACAAGUCCCUGCUGGGGAUGCUUGACUUCAAAUCCUUUGCCAGGCCUGGGCUGGUGAGGUGGGGUGGUUGACAAGCUUUGUCACAGACAUGGUUGUUUGUGGUCUUGUGUUCUUGAAGUGGCCCUUCUCCUCUCUGGGCCUCAGCUUUUUCCUCUUCAAAUGGGAUGAUACCCUUCUCCAGGACAGCUGUGAGGGUCAGAGUUCAAUCAUUCACACUGGGUAAACACUCAGUAAGCCAGAAAACUUUGGGCAGAGUAGUGCUCUUGACCUGGAGGGGGAGGUGCUGAGGAGGAGAAGGCAGAAGGAUGAGCCCCUCCUGGACCUUUGUGGGCAAAGUGAGUCUAGAGAGGAAAUUCCAGCAGUCCAGGGAGGUUUGAUUUGGGUACAGAGUCCCUGAUCCCAGGCCACCUCCCAGGAAGCUAACAGUGGCAGUGGCAGGUCCCAGCAAGACAAAGGAUAGGUCAGGUGUCACACCAGCUCAUUGACGAUAGCUGGCAGUAUCCAGUGCUCACAGCUCCUGCUAAUUCCUGCUUCGCUUCACCAUGGCUCCAGCCCAAGUUGUAGCAGUAGUAGAGAGAUGCUAUCCUGCCCCCACUGGUGUCCUCUUUGCCUGAGAUCAGCUGCCCAGCAUGUGGCAGGAAGUAUCCAGAAGAUGGGACCAGGCCUUGGCUAUGAGAGCCACACAAACAAGCAUAGUGUCCACAGGCCACUGCAGAGGGGAAGAAAGGGUAGAGGAGUCAAGCCACAGGUAGCAGGUGGCAAGCCAGAGCUGCCAAAGAGCCAGGGCUCCUGGACUGUCUUUGUACCAGCUUGGUUUUGAAAACAACACCUCUGAUCCCUAUUGGUUCAGUCACACUGGUGCCUAGGAUUCCACUUUGAGGCCUACCCAUAACAAAAACCACUGACAUUUGGUGGUAUAUCCAGGGUGGUCAGGGAAGAGAAAACCACAAAAGAUUUUCUUGAUCUUCAGAGUGGGCUUUUACCACCUCUUCUCAUACUCUUUUAAAAUUCUGAUUACAUCAUUCACAGUUCUUCAAUUGCUCUUUAUUCCUGAGCCUUCAGGGCCUCCUGCAGAGGCAGAGAUAGCAGAAGGGUACAUGGAAGGAAGUUACUCAUUGUGCUACAGGAACAAUAUCCAGCACAAUGUCACCUUGAGUGAGGCCCAGGUAAAAAUCAUUUUCGACUAAGUUUACCAGUUUAUUUUUUGUUGUCCAGACACAUUCUGGGAGGUGCCUUCAUUUACCCAGAGGUGGAGGGAGAAGGAGGCCAAAGCCAUCCUUCUGAACUCUCAGGUCAGCUGCCCUUGACCUUUUGGGGUGCUCAAGACUCAUAUGUGCCAGUCCCCAGGAGAGCUGACAGGCCACCUAGUAAAGGAACAGUGUCAAUCUUCCAGGGCACACCAAUCCCGGGGGCAGGAAGUCAUCUCGUAAAGCUGCUGGGCUUCUCACCUUCAAUUGGGCCUGUCCAUGGAGUGGGGCUGCCUUUUAGUACAGGGCCACUCUUCUCAGACAACUCAGUAUGGAGUGGGGCCUGAGUGAGAACUCUGGGCUUCUAGCUGCCACUUCCCCUAGAGGACAAGGCCACAUUUUUUUCUGCCUUAUAUGUGAUUGCUCUUGUCUCAAUCCUCCAAAAAUCAUUGUCCUAUAACAAGACCCUGGUGUUCAGAGGAAGCUCUGAAAGGAGCUGUUAUCUGCUGCUUUUAGACUUUUCUGAGUCAUGAGCAGUAACAAGAUUCCCUACACCAGCCCAGAGGCACAUCGAGCUAGGCAGGACACCAAGGAAAUGGAUUCCACCCAAAAGCAUGGGGGAGUACUGUCUACAUAUGUUGGAGCAGGCCAGAGCAUGAAAACUCUGGGUCAAGGUCCAAGGUUCAGGCAGGAGUGAGGAGUGAGUGAGGGGAGCUCUCUGCUGCUCCCUACCUUCCACGGAAGCCAGAGAAGCCCUACUUGGACAGCUUUAAAAGUUGAUCUACUAUGUAAGGUUCCCUUUGGGACAGAGCAAUAUGCUACUGUAAAACACUUACAAACCAUGCUGUUGAGAAUAGGGGCACUUUGGCCCAGGGAGAGGAAGGACUUUACCCAGCUGCUGGGUGGGCUGAGGUAGAACCCAGCCCUCCUCACUGGCCAGUGGCCUCUGUAGAACACGCACAUGUGGUCUGCACUAGCCAUGUGGGAAACAGGCUUGAGUCCAUGUGGGGUAGGGAGGGCUCAGGUGUAGACUGGGACCAUUAUAUGCAGGCACGGGUUCCCCGAGAGUGUUCACAUUUCCCAUGCAUGGUGGUGGCUGCCACAUGCCUGCCCGGCCAACACACUUCACUCACUCAUCUGCUGUGAGAGAUGAGAGGUGAGAGAAAGAGACAGAGACAGAGAGACAGACGGAGAUUUAUUUUAAGGAGUUGACUUACAUGAUGAUGGGGACUGGCAGGUCCAAAAUCAGCAGGGCAGGCCCAUACGCUUGAGUUGAAGGCUAGAAUCUCAGGCAGGAUUUCUAUGCUGCAGUCUGGGCUCAGAAUCUCUUCUUUCAGGAACUUCGAUCUUUGCUCUUAAGGCUGUCAACUAAUUAGAUGAGGCCCAUUCACAUAUGGAGGGUCAUUUGCUUUACUCAAAGUCUACUUAUUUAAAUGUUAAUCACACCUGAAAAAUACCUUCACAGCAGCAUCUAGACUGGUGUUUGACCAAACAACUGGCCACCAUGGCCUAGCCAAUUUGACACAUAACAUUAACCAUCACAUUCACAGCCCCUCUUCAGCAGCCCAAGGAAGCAGCUGUUGGCUUUGGGCCCAGCAGGUUAAAGGCCAGACCUGGAAGAGGAGACAAGAGGGUGGCAGAGCAGGGAAGGGUAAGGAGUGGAAGGUCAGCUGGUGGAGGGCACAGCCCGGGGGACUGUGAGGCUCAGCAAGAGGGUGUCCCCUACAGGAAUAGAGGAAGAGCAGGUGCCCCUGUGUCCUGGAGAUAGGGCCUAUUGGAAGUUACUCCUGCAGAAGUUCUUAGUGGUGAGCCAUGGGGGAAGGGCCCCAAGCCUGGAUUUCGGAGCUGGAACCAAGAUUUCUCCUGGAGCCAGGACAAGCAUGGAGGAUCCCGACAGAUGACUUGGUUCACAUGUAGUUUGGAGGCAUCCACAGAAUGGGGGGUGGUGUUCAUGGGGCCUGCAGGCAAGGGCCUGGAACUGCUGGUGGCCCUGAGCAUGGGUCACAAAUCAGAGACCAAGACGGACAGAAUAUGCUGCUGAGUGGUGGCCUACCUGUGAGGGGAGGGGAGGUGGCCUUGACUGGAUUCUGGCAGCUGUUCCCCCACCUCUCCACCUCCCACAGCUGCCCUUGGCCUAACAUUCUGGCCUCUUCUCAGAGAUCAGUGAUCCAUGAGGUGAGCUAGGUGGGAGCAAUGUGUCUGUUGGAGGCCCAGGGUUUGGCCUAAUUCUGCCUUCCUCUCUGGGGAUACAUGUCUUUGCAUUUGCUGCCCCCUUCUCACCCAACCCAUAAUGGCCACACCCUUGGGUUUAAACCCACAACUUGACCUUCCAUAAAGACGAGAGAGCAGUGUCUAGCAGCUUCAAGGCUCCUGAGAGCAGGCCAAGGCCAGAUAGGGGCAGUUUACUCAUCAGAGGGAACUGAGAUUUGUGCAGAUCCCCCUCCCACCCCCUGUCCACUAUCAGUUUUGUCACUUCCCCUGGGGGUCCCCUUCUUCUGGCUUUCCCCUUGUCUUCUGUCCCAAAUGAUGAAGCUUUCUUUGGUGUUCUCCGGUGUUCUGGGUGUCCCUUUGGUGCCAGCUGACAAUGGCUCUCUGAAAGCUGCUUCUCCUCCCACUGCUCUGGCAGCCUUGCCUAUGUAUUCUCUCCAGCCCUUCCUCGAGACCCAUCUUGGUGGAGUUCUUUGCCCCAGUGGCAUGGUUGGAACUCAGCACUUCAGCUUUGGCCACCAAGUCAGCAGGUCUGGUGGAGUUUCUCANCAUGUCUUUGCAUUUGCUGCCCCCUUCUCACCCAACCCAUAAUGGCCACACCCUUGGGUUUAAACCCACAACUUGACCUUCCAUAAAGACGAGAGAGCAGUGUCUAGCAGCUUCAAGGCUCCUGAGAGCAGGCCAAGGCCAGAUAGGGGCAGUUUACUCAUCAGAGGGAACUGAGAUUUGUGCAGAUCCCCCUCCCACCCCCUGUCCACUAUCAGUUUUGUCACUUCCCCUGGGGGUCCCCUUCUUCUGGCUUUCCCCUUGUCUUCUGUCCCAAAUGAUGAAGCUUUCUUUGGUGUUCUCCGGUGUUCUGGGUGUCCCUUUGGUGCCAGCUGACAAUGGCUCUCUGAAAGCUGCUUCUCCUCCCACUGCUCUGGCAGCCUUGCCUAUGUAUUCUCUCCAGCCCUUCCUCGAGACCCAUCUUGGUGGAGUUCUUUGCCCCAGUGGCAUGGUUGGAACUCAGCACUUCAGCUUUGGCCACCAAGUCAGCAGGUCUGGUGGAGUUUCUCAUCUGCCAUGAAGAACGAGAGAGUGCCCAGGCUUUCUGUACAACCUCUUAUUUAGGGUCAUUCAAAUCCCAAGGCAGAUACUAAUUGUACUCUCAUUUCAUGGAGGAGCAGACUGAGCCUUAGAGAGGAUGGGUGGCCUGCUCAAGGCAAUGGAAGGGGUAGAGACAGUCUGGGAAUCCAGAGCCCUGCCACCCCUAACCACCUUGGGGUUGUGCUAGCUCCUCCUCCGGCCACACAGCCUAGCAAAGGCCCCUUCCCUGCUCUAAACAGAGAGCCAACAGGUCAGGGAGGAGGCUGGCUAGAAGCCUCAGCUCAGGCCUGAAGUCAUUAGGACUGUCCCAAAUGGGGAGGGGAUGUCUUUCAGUGCAUACUGCUCGAUGAGGGGCCAUCUAAGGAGAGACUCAGAGUUCAGUGCAGGGAGGGCUUCUAUCCCCAGAUCCUCCCCAGUGCUGCAGUCUUGAGCUCCCAAAGCUCUGGGUUUUUUAAUAGAUGCUUAUUUUUUAAUUUUUAAUCUUAAUUUUAAUUUUUUUUAUUUUGUAUUUUAAUUUUAUUUUAUUUUAAUUUUUAAUUUUAAUUUUUAUUGUUGAAGCGUAGUUAAUGUACAUGCUAUUUUAGUUUCAAGUGUACAACAUAGUGAUUCCACAAUUCUGUACAUUGCUGAGGGCUUGCCACUUUUAGUCUCCAUCCGUCACCAUGCAGUUAUUAUUACUCUAACAUUGACUAUAUUCCCUAUGCUGUACUUUUCAUCUCCCUGACUUAUUUAUUUUAUAACUGGAAGUUUGUACCUCGUCAUCCCCUUCACCUAUUUUGCCCAUCCCCACACUCCCUUUCCAUCUGGCAACCACCAGUUUGUUCUUUAUAUUUAUGAGUCUUUUUCUGGAUUUUUGUUUGUUGAUUUGUUUUAUCCACAUGUAAGUGAAAUCAUAUGAUAUUUAUCCUUCUCUGUCUGACUUAUUUCACUUAGCAUUAUACCUUCUAGUUCUGUCCAUGUUGUUGCCAAUGGCAAGAUCUCAUUUUUCUUUAUGGCUAAGUAAUAUUUCAUUAUAUGUAAAUACCAUAUCUUCUUUAUCCAUUCAUCUAUGGAUGGACACUUAGGUUGCCACCACAUCUUGGCCAUCGUAAAUAAUGCUGCAAUAAAUGUAGGGGUGUAUAAAUCAUUUUGAAUUGGUGUUUUUAUUUUCUUUGUGCAAAUACAUAGUAGUACAAUUGCUGGGUUAUAAGGUAGUUCUGUUUUUUAUUUUUUGCAGAACCUCCAUACUGUUUUCCACAGUGGCUGCACCAGUUUGCAUUCCCACCAGCAGUACACAAGGGUUCCUUUUGCUCCACAUCCUUGCCAACACUUGUUAGUUUUUGUCUUUUUGAUACUAGCCAUUCUUGACUAAUGUGAAGUGAUAUUUUGUGGUUUUGACUUGCAUUUCCCUCAUGAUUAGUGAUGUUGAGCAUCUUUUCAUGUGUCUGUUGGCCAUCAUGUCUUCUUUGGGAAAAUGUCUGUUCCCGUUCUCUGCUCAUUUUUAAUCAGAUUAUUUGUUUUUUUGUGUGCUGAGUUGUAUAAGUUCUUUUAUACAUUUUGGAUAUUAACCCCUUACUGGAUAUAUCACUUGAAAAUAUCUUCUCCCAUUCAGUAAAUUGCAUUUUCAUUUUCUUGAUGGUUUCCUUCACUGUGCAAAAGCUUUUUAUUUUGAUACAGUCCCAGUAGUUCAUUUUUGCUUUUGUUUCUCUUGCCUUAGGAGACAUAUCCAGAAAAAUGUUGCUAAGGCCAGCAUCCAAGAAAUUACUACUUAUGAGUUCUUUGAGGGUUUUUAUGGUUUCAGGUCUCAUAUUUAUGUCUUUAAUCCAUUUUGAGUUUAUUUUUGCAUAUGGUGUUAGAAAGUACUCCAGUUUCAUUCUUUUGCAUGUAGCUGUCCCGUUUUCCCAGCACCAUUUAUUGAAGAGACUUUUACCAGUAGCCCAUGCUCCUGGGCCUGUCAUGGCUCCCCAGGGACAACAGGAUCUAUAUCAGGCUUCUUAGGUGCCCUGCCACUAUCCCCCACAGCCCCUGUCAGCCUGUCACCCUGAUACUCUAGGUCCUCCAGGAUAUGGACAUGACCACUCCUCUGACGUCAUAAUCUAGAACCUUCCUUUUCCCUCCACAGUGCUUCUCCUGCACUUCCUGCCUUUGACUCCUGCAAUAGAGGGCUAUAAGCUGUCACCUCCUCCUCAGUAUACUUCCCAGCAGUACCUGCUCCCACUUCCAGCUUUCCUGAAGUGCCCAUCAGGAGGGGUUUUUCCAUUUACCCCUGCCUGCCCAACACCCUUGGAUUGCACCUCAGUAUUCUAGCCCUUGUCACAGAGUGUUUGUGGCUUAGUGUUGCAGGUGGCAGAAUCUGUCCACCCUAGAAGACUAGAAUCUACUAUAGGCCAGCAGUCAACCAGCCUGGGGCUUGGCCCAGAGUUGGUGCUCAGGGAGCAGUAAGGGAGCUGGCCCUUCCUUCAAGGAGCUUCUUGGAACUCAUCCAGCAAAGACUGUGAUGGAAAGACAUUCUAGAAUCCUAGAACAGAAGUCUGGGACAGUGGGCAGGGCCCUCAAGCAGCUUGUGCAGAGUAUCCAAGCCAGGUUGAGCAUCAGGGACACAGGAGCUGCUGAUUAAAAUGCAGAUUUCCUGGGCCUUAUGCCAGAGCCACUAAAUCAGAAUCUCCGGGUGGAGGGAGAGGGGGAGAGCCAGCUGCAUUCUGAAAAGAGCUCUACAGGUGGUUCCGAUGUGUGCUGCAGAUUGGGGAGGCCAAGGCCCCAGGUCCUGCAGCGAGUCAUUGCAGACUGGGCCUGGAACUCUGGCUCUUGCCUCCCACUGUGGGGCCCUCUCCCCUAUGUCAUCAGGCCUAGUUGGCUGCCAAGGCUGAGGAGCUACGUCCAUGAGUCACUUGCUGACAACAGACAUGUGCCUCAAGGGCAUGAGUCAUAACAGACCACAGCUGAUGAUGGGCAAAUCCAGAGAUGUCAAUGGGAGAUGUUUGGGGAUGCCUCGUCUGUGCUGCCAGCCUAGGACUGGGUGCUGAGGGCAAAAACAGUCUAAGAUAGAAAUGUCUGUGCUCCUGGAGCAGCAGUGCCCAUCUUUGGCAGGAAAUCUGCACAUCCUUCAAUCCUUCAGUCCAGCCUUCUGUCCACUGCUUUGGACCCAUAGUGUUUGUCUAGUGCUCAGCUAGGAGCUGGAGCCAUGGCAGUGAACGUACCAUCAGGAAACCACAAGGAGCAGGAAGACCAUCCCUCAGAUGAGGUGUAGUGAGGGGCAGUGCAUGGUGACACUCUGUGCAUGUAGACAGGGGUCAGCCUAGUCUGGUGGGCGGGGCAGACAGAGGAUAAGGAGGCACCCUGCAGGGAUGGGGAACCAGAGGAAGAGGGCAGUUGAAGGCAGAGGAGAUUGUGUGUGUAUAGGCUCUGAGGCACAUGAGGAAGAGGGAGGCCUAUGGGGCUGGCGCCCAGACUGGAAAUGGAUGACCGGAGGGAAAUGUGGUAGGGCAUGGGGAAGCUGUAAGAGGGCAGGGGCAGGGCCUUUGAGGCUCUGGUUUGGGUGUUUUAUUCUAUCUUAAGAACAAUGAAAAGGGCAACAAACAUAUGAAAAGAUGCUCAACAUCACUUGCAAUUGGACAACUACAAAUCAAAAUCAAAAUGAGAUAUCACCUUACACCACUAAGAUUUUUAAAAAAACAAACAAACAAAACGCCAGAAAAUAACAAGUGUUGGUGAGGAUGUGGAGAAAUUGGAACCCCUGUGUAUUGCUUGUGGGAAUGUAAAAUGGUGCAACCUCUGCGGAAAACAUUUUGGUCAUUCUUCAAAAGGUUAAACAGACAGUUACCACAUGACCCAGCAUUUCCACUCCUGGGUACAUACAUACCCAAGAGAAUUGGUGUUCAGAGAACGAAUGUCUAUAGCAUCAUUAUUCAUAAUAGCUGAAAGUGGAAACAACCCAAAUGUUCGUCAACUGGUGAGUGGAUGAAUAAAAUGUAAAAUGCGGUCCGUCCAUAAUGGACUAUUAUUCAGCCAUAAAAGAGAAUGAAGUGCAGAUCUACGCUACAACGUGGACGAACUCUGAAAACAUUGUGCUAAGUGGAAGAAGCCAGUCACAAAAGACCACAUGCUAUGUGAUUCCAUUCAUGUGUAGUGUCCACAAUAGGCCAAUCCAUAGAGACAGAAAGCUGAUCAGUGGGUGCCAGUGGCUGGGGGGAGGGGAAGAAUGGAAUGACUGGUUAAUGACCUGGGUUUUUUGGGGGGUAGGGUGAUGAAAAUGUUCUGGAAUUGGAUUGUAGUGUAACUUCAUUAAUAUAAUUCAUGCCACUGAAUCAUACACUUUAAAAUGGUAAUUGACAGAUUUCAUCACACACACCCAUAUUAAGUACAGUUUUUAAAAGCAGGGGCAGAAUGAUGGGAGGGCCAGUUGAGGGUCCAAAGCAGCAGAUGGGCUAGACUGUAGGACUGGCAGGAAGCCUGCCAGUCCUGAGCACUUGGGUAUCUGUGCCUCUCUGCCUUCCAGCACAUCUGAAGGCUGCUCAGCUUCAAUGAGACAGUAUGUGGAGGCCCCGGUACACAGUAGGUGUGCAGCCAGUGCCAUGCAGGGAAAAGGGAGCUCCGAGGGAAUGAAGUAACCUGCUCACGGACAUCCAGUUAAGUGAGCAAGUCAGGACUGUCUGGAGUCACACUACCCGGCUCCUUAUCUCAAUUUCGCCCCUUGGAACUGCUGUGUCCUUGUACAUAACAUGCAGCUGAUAACAGCAGUCCUGUCUUGCUUCGAGUCCCACUGCACCACUGGGCCCACCGGCCCUGGCUCACUCCCUUUGGGAAGACUUCCCCACAUGGGUCAUCAUAAUUCAGUUCAAGAGCAGGAAACAUAUAAAAUACGUUCUUAUUUGAUGGUCUCUGUUGUUGGUCUGGGGAGCCACUGAGAGAGGAAAACCAGAGGCAAGUGCCGGCUCUUUUCCUGAAAGCAUUAAUGAAAAUGUUAACUUUUGCAUUGGGUUCUGUGCUGUUCCAAGUUUAUUAAACCAUCAGAAAAAGUGGCUCCCAAGGGCAAAUCUUGAGAACAUGGGGAAACCCUGAGGGUCUCUUUCCCAGUCUCUUUCCCCAACUGGUCCCUUUCCCUUUAUGCCCUUCACUGUCUGACCCUCCCCCACCCCUCACCAGCCUGGUGCCCCAAACUUCCAGUCCCUAAAAUGGGGGUCAUGUGAUGCUUAGCCUCAUGUGUGGCUUAUAAUAAGUGCUUGAGGGGCACCUUGGUGGCUCAGUCUGUCCAACUCUUGAUUUCAGCUCAGGUCAUGAUCUCACAGUUGUGACAUCAAGUUCCAUGUCAGGGUCUGCACAGAGCAUGGAGCCUGCUUGGGAUUCUUUCUCCCUCCCUCUCUCUGUGCCCCUCCCCUGCUCGUGCAUGCACUCUCUCCCUCUCUCUUUCAAAAUAAAUAUAUAAACUUAAAAAAAAUAAGUGCUUGGGGCUCCUGGAUGGGUCAGUCGUUUAAGCAUCCAACUUCAGCUCAGGUCAUGAUCUCACGGUUGGUGAGUUCAAGUCCUGCAUCAAGUCUCUGCACUGUGGUGCAGAACCUGCUUGGAUUCUCUCUUCAUCUCUCUUUCCCCGUCCCCACUUGUGCUCUCUCUCUCUCUCUCAAAGUAAAUAAAUAAACUUUAAAACAAUAAGUGCUUGAUAGAGUCAGUGACAAUUACAAUGACUUUAAAUAAUUUUUAAAAAAGCACUGCUCAUUUUUCUUAGGGACCUUGCUUUUUCCCAUGUAAUUGAUGAUCUAAAUUGUAAGACUGUCUUUUUCCACAGGACUCAAUAGACUUUUUUAAUGACAAAGAUGAAAAGCAGCUGUCCACCCUAUUCUUUGUGCUGACUCAGCUCUUCCUGGGGAGAAGGCUACUCCUCCAUGGCCUGGACAUUCUCCAAGCCCCUCCUAGGACUGGCAGGGGUCUCAGGGCCUACGUCUCCAUUAGGAGCAAUAGGUACUAGGGCCAUGAUACUUUCUGGGGCUCAUGAAAAUAUUUUAAUUUCUUUUCAAAUCAGAAGGGAAACAAUGAACUUUUAGGAGGAAGAAAAUAUUUUAAUAUGUACUAUUAAUGUGAAUUAAUAUACAUUAAUAUGAACUAACAUACUCAUCUUUUUAAAUAUUUAUUUAUUUAUGUUUAUUUAUUAUUUAUUUAUUUAUGUUUAUUUAUUUUUGAGAGAGAGAGAACACGUGUGAGGGAGGGGCAGAGAGAGAGAGAGAGAGAGAGAGAGACAGAGGAUCCAAAGCAGGCUCUGCACUGAGAGCACAAAGCCCAAUGUGGGGCUUGAACACAUGAACCAUGAGAUCAUGACCUGAGCCAAAGUCAGACGCUCAACCGAGUGAGCCACCCAGGCACCCCUGCUUAUUCAUUUAUUUUGAUAGAAAGAGGGAGGGGCAGAGAGAGAGGGAGAGAAGGAAUCCUAAGCAGGCUCUGUGCUGUCAGCGCAGAGCUGAACACCAGCUCGAACUCAUGAACCAUGAGAUUGUGACCUGACCCAAAAUCAAGAGUUGGAUGCUCAACCCACUGGGCCAGCCAGGCACCCCAACAUAAUCAUCUUUAUACCAACACAGUCGUAAACUAUAAUUGUUAUUUAUUCUGCUACUGAGGAAGAGGCCCACAAGGUGGAAGUGUCCAUGGCCAGAGGGGUCAGUGCAGCCCUGAGCCCCCUGCAGGAGGGCACUUUCCCUCUGGUCAUCUCAUUUCUGAUUCUGAUCACUACCACCAACCCCACAGGUAGACAGGAUGGCGGGUAUUUCCCUGCUUUCCACACAAAGAGGCUGAGGUUUGGAAAUAAGAGGUGACUUGUUUGAUGUCACCCAGUCCUGAACUUUCUGAUGUCCCUUAUUGCCAUUUCGGGUCCCCUUUCUGCCAGGGAGAUAUCAGGUGGAGGAGCCCCUACUGCUGAGAGGAGAGCCCCUCACCCUGCCCCCAAGCCUCAUCUGCCAUCUUCUACAGCUGCCUCCAGGCCACCAGGAAGAGAGCUACACUGUCGGAACAGUGCAGGUAAAUGUUAACCAUUAAUUCUGGUCAGAAACAUCAUUGCCAAAACCUCCAUAAAGCUGUGAGGCUAUAGUUGAUCAGUGUCCUGGGAGUGAGCACAGAGUAAUCACUCAGCUUAUCCAGGUUCUUCAGAGAAGCAGAGCCAAGAGAUGAGAUAGACAGACAUAGAUAGAUGGAUAGGUGGAUGGGUGGUGAGUGGUUGCAUGGAUGGGUGGAUGGAUGGAUGGAUGGAUGGAUGGAUUUUAAGGAACUGGUUCACAAAAUUGUGGGUACUGGCAAGUCCCAAAUCUAGAGGGCAGGCCACAAGGCUAGAGACUCCGUCAAGGGUUGAUGAUGUAGUCUGGAGGCAGAAUUCUUUGGGAAGCCUCCUCAGAAGGCCUUCCACUGAUUGGAUGAUACCCACCCACAUUAUCAAGGGUUAGUAGUCUUCUUUACUUAAAGUCAACCAGUUGUACAUAUUCCCCACAACUACAUACCAAAACUCAGAUUAGCGUUUGACUAAAUAACUGGGGAUCAUGGUCUGGCCAAGGUAACACAUAAACUGACCAUCACGGACGGCACCCAUGCCACAUUGGUAGAGGUCAAACCUUGCUGGCUUAUUUAAGUACUUGAAUUCUCUGUAAUUUUCCUCCUGCCUCCCCAAUCAGGAAGGCCCAAGUCACGUUCUCAGCUAGAAGGACCUUGAACUCCCCAGUCCAGUGGCUGGCCUUUUACCUAGGUCAAAGUGAUGCUCUGUCCCCAGAGUUCCUUAGCCCAGCUCAUGGCCUCUUGCUGCCAGUGCCUACUUUGUCACAGCAGUUGUAAGCAAUGGCCAAAAGUGAGUACUGUCAAUGCCUUCCCUGGGGAGUCCUGGUUUCCUGGGCUAUGUAGUCCCAGGCACAGCGGCAGAUAGGACCAGCCACAGGGCCCAAUCCUUAGGGUCUUGGGCUCUUCCCUCUGCAGGGGUGGGGUGCAGGGAAUGAAUGUCUUUGCCUUUCCAACAGAAGGGAAAACACAGCCCCCUCUAGGCAUCCACACUCAGAGGAAGCCACAUGGAGGUAGGCUACCAGCACAGGCCUCUAAAAUCUCCAUGGUGUCCUGGAGCUUGGGAGCUGGCUGAAUGCACUAGAAGCAUCUAGAGUUAGUUGUUCAAAUUGCAACUUGUGAACCACAUGUGGUUGUCCUAAAAUCAAGUUUGCGAGUCUCAAGCAGCAUAUUUGGAAACAUGAAACAGAAUAAAAAGAAAAAAAUAAUAUUCAAGUACAUUGUCUUAGUCCAUUUGAGCUGUUAUAACAAAAAUACUAUACCCUGGGGGGGAGGGGGGCUUAAACAACAAACAUUUAUGUCUCACAGUUCUGGAAGCUGGGAAGUUUAAGAUCAAGGCACUGACAGAUUUGCUGUCUGCUAAGGUUCACAGAUGGCCGUUUUCUCACUGUGUCCUCACAAAGCAGAAAGGUCGAGGCCACUCUCUGGGUCUCUUUUAUGAGGGUACAAAUCCCAUUCAUGAGGGCUUCACCUCAUGACCUCAUCACCUCCCAAAGGCCAGGUUAGGAUUUCAACAUAUGAAUUCUGGGAGGGCACAUUCAGUCUAUAGCAUUCUGCCCAUGGCUCCCCAAAUUCAUGUCCUUCUUAUAUGCAAAAUACAUUCUUUCCACGCAACAGCCCCAAAGGUUUUAACUGGUUCUGGCAUCAGCUCUAAAGUCUAAGGCCAAAGGCUCAUCUACACCUCAUCUAGAUCACCUAUGAGCAAGACCCAAGGUCUGGUUCAUCCUGAAGCCGAUUCCUCUCCAGCUGCAAACCUGCAAAAGCAAACAAGUCAUAGUAGUGGGACAGGCAUAGGAUAGACAGUCCCCUUCCAAAAGGGAGAAAUGGGAAAGAAGGAAGGGGUAAAUGGGCCCCGCGUAAAUCUCAACCCAAGAGGGCAAACAUUAAACCUUAAGGCUCUAGAAUAAUCCCCUUUGGCUUGAUGCUCUUUUAGGCCCACUGGGCUGGCAACAGUACCCUCUGGCUCCUUGAGAUGGCCCACAGCAGCUCUCUGCCUGGACCCUGUCCCCAAGGUAGCUCUCCGCUGGUGCUCUCAGGCUCUCCAGGGCUGGAUCCCCAAGCCAUGGAUCCUCAUGGCCUCCCUGUCCUUUGAAACCCAGGUAGAGACAGCCAUUGCCUGGCGUGUGCACCGUGAACCUGUGGGAAGAACACUGCAUGUUUGCAGAUGAACAGCAUUAUGGUUCAGUCCUGAAGGGUCUAAGAAGUCCAACAUUCUUCCUUCACUUUGACCUCCCUUUCUCUGUCUCCUUUAGUCCCAGCUGGCUGUGUUUCUGCUGGUGACACCCCAUCUCUAUGCCUACCUAGCCUUUGUUGAUUAUGGUCUGUAGGUUACAUCCCUGCUAAUCUCCAUAUCAGAGGGUUGCUUAGCCACACUCUUAGGGUUCUCAUUUUUUCCAAUUUGGGUGGGCUGAGAAUUUGCCUAGUCUUUGAGUUCUGCUUCAUUUUUGCUGAACAAUUCCAUCUUUGUGUCCCUUCUCCCUUCUCACAUUCCUCUAUAAGCCAUCAGGAGGAGCCAAGCCUCACCUUCAACACUUUGCUAGAAAUCUCCUCAGUAAAUAUCCUAUUUCAUUACUUACAAGUUCGACCUUAUACAAAACACUAGAACAUGAAUACAAUUCAGCCAAGUUCUUUGCCACUUUAUAACAAGGAUCAGCUUCCAUUAUAUUUAAGGUGCAUAACUUGAUGUUUUGAUACAUAUAUACACUGUAAAAUGAUCAGCAAUACUGUACUGUAAUACUUGAAUGCAAUUGCCAAUAACAUGUCCUCAUUUUCAUGUGAGAUCUCAUCAGAAUGGCCUUUUGCAUCCAGAAAUCUGAGGCCUUCUCUCCAGCGCCCAUCUUUCCCACUCACGACAAUGGAGGCUCCAACCUCCACCCAUUAUCUGUUCCCAAGCUGCUCCCAUAUGUUUAGAGCUUUGUUACAGCAGCGCCCCACUUCUCACUACCAAUUUCAUAGUCCAUUCAUGCUGCUGUGACAGAAUACCAUAGACAGAGCAGCUUAAACAACAAUUUCCUCCUCCUAGUUCUAGAGGCUGGGAAGUCCAAGAUCAAGGCACCAACAGAUUUGGUGUCUGGUGAGAGCCCACUUCCUGAUUCAUAGACAGCUAUCUUUUUGCUGUGUCCUCACAGGAAGGAAGAGGCAAGGGAGGUUUCAGGGGUCCCUAUUAUAAGGACACCAAUCCCAUUCCUGAGGGCUCCACCCUCAUGAAUUCAUCGCUUCCCAAAGGCCCCCACCUCUUAAUACCAUCACUUUGGGAGUUAGAUUUCAACAUAUGAAUUUUAGAAGCACACAUUCAGUCUAUAGCAGCAUCUUAAGUAGUAAUGCUAAGUAUCGGUUCGUGAAACUUUUGUUACGCUUUAUAGUGAUUUGUAUGUAUACUUGUAUUGGGUCUUGAUGCAAAACAUAUUUCUUACUAUCAAAAUGUUUGAGGGAUGCCUGGCUGGGUCAGUUGGUAGAGCAUGUGACUCUUGAUCUCCAGGUCAUGAGUUUGAGCCCCAUGUUGGGUGUAGAGCUUAUCAAAAGUUUUUUUAAGAUAAAAAAUUAAAAAAUAAAGUAAAAAGUGUUUGAAAGUCACCAAUGUAUCCAAACAAGCCAUUGUGCAUGUGGGAAAAUUGAGGCCUAAAAUUAGGGACAGGACACAUGUUAAGAUCUUAUAAUGAUAAAGAACAGAGAAGGAUUAGAAUUCAACAUGUGAUCUCCUGACCUGAACCCACACACUCCAAGCUGGCUGCUGGGCUGUGGCAAUUGCCACCCAAGACUCCAUUCACACGACCAUGUAAGCUCAAGAUCCUCUAAACAAUCCCAAGCACACCUUAGAAGAACAAAAGCUAUUUUUACUGAGAGUUGGGCUUUGUAAAGUACAUUCAAGUAUAUAGUACAGUAUUGGUGAUCAUUUUAUAGCAUAUACAUGUAGGAAAACAUCAAGUUAGGCACCUUAAAUAUAUAAACAAGUAUUUGUCAAUUAAACCUCCAUAAAGCUGAAGAAGAAAGUCACAAAAAAAAAAAACUGCAUGCACCUUUGGGUUGCGGUGACAAAUACAAAGUAAUUUUAUUCCUUAGGGGAUGCUGUGUUUUUGUAUAUUUCUGCCUGCCCACCAUCCACUCUUGUGACCUCUAAACACUCUUUCUUUUGGGGUGUCUAUGCACCAGUCAGGGUUCAGUUGAAGCAGCAUGGUCAAGAUGCUAUACAAUGACAGGGUUUUCAUAGGAUGGGACCCGCUGCCCUGGGCAGGGCGGGGGUGGAGGGGGCGCUGGUAGAGGGCUCUAAGCAGCAGGUGUUCAGCUUUAAAUCACCCAGACCGACAGGAGGGAAAAUGGGCAUGAGCAAGAACAAAGACAAGCUGGUAGUCCCAUCUGUCCCUGACCACCUCCAACCUGGAUACCAUGGGUGACCUGUAAGGGAAGCUGGCAUCCCUCACCAAGAGCUGCAGUCACACUUGGCCCUGCUGAAGGAGGAAAGCUGGCCGGGGCUGAGGCAGCUGCGGGGCUAGUACCCACCCCAUGUCAACAAGAGUAGCCACCAGAUCAAGGACACUGUGCACAAGCUGCCACAGCACUGGCUUCUGCUUCACUUACAUUUUCCAAAAGUCACUUGAUUCUCAUGUGGCCCCCACUGGCCAACAGUUGUACCAAAAGGGGUUCUGGGCACCGAGGUGUUGGUUUCACUCGACUGGCACAAAGCAAAGCCACUGUUUAUAACCAAUUAGUGCAAGAAACAGCAGGAGUUAAAAAUCUAGAAAACUCCAUCAUCCUGAGCAGGCUGUGUAUUCACUUCCUCCUCACUGACUUCACAUCACCUUGUAAUCUGUGGGUUCAGGGCCUCACCUGCCUUUAGAUAUAGGGUCCCAAGAACAUUACUAAGCCAGAGGCCCUAUUCUUGCUCCUACCUGUUCACAUAGUCUCCUGCCUCACCCCCUGUUAGGGACUGAAUGUUGGUGUCCUUCAAAAUCAUAUGUUUAAGCCCUACCUCCCAAUGUGAAGAUAUUUAGAGGUGGAGCUUUUGGGACGUAAUUGGGUUUAGAUGAGGUCAUGGGGAUUGAACUCUGUGUUGAAAGUAGUGCCCUUAUAGGAAGAGGAAGGGACCAGAACACUCCCUCCCCCUCUCUCUCUCUCCACCAUGUAAGGACAUAGCAAGAUGGCGGCUAUCUGCAAACCAGGAAAAGGGCUCUCAACAGGAACCAAAUCUCCGAACACCUUGUUCUUGGAUUUCCCAGCUCUAGAAUUGAGAAAUGUUUAUUAUUUAAGCCACCCACUCUGUGAGAUUUUGUUAUAGCAGCCCAAAUUGACUAAUAUACCCCUUGAGUAUUUCUGGGAAUCCCCAAAGGAACUCUUAUUAGUUUACACAUGUCUGUCCAUUUAUCACUAUGCGGAGUUUGCCAUUCUCUUCCUCUCCAGAUCCAUUACCGUAUGUUGAUAUCUGAUUCCCAGGGAGCCCCUUAUAGAAACCACACUGCUACCUGGGCAAAGGCCAUGCCAAAGGUCUGGUCCUGAUACUGCCCAAAUUGCCCACACCUCCUCAUGACACAGUGGACUGGGGUGGUAGCAGGAAAAGGGGCAACAACCUUGACUAGGGCUCUGAGAAGCAAGACACAUUGGGCCCAGAGGCCACAAGUCUCUCAACAGAGCUGUAAUUCAUGCUGCUUUGUACAAAGUGGUUGCACCUGGGAUUCACAGCCCCAGCCAAUUAACUCCUCCUCCCUUCUUCUACCACCUGGUGAUCCCAGAGGGCCUCAGGCCUAUGAAAUACCUCCAUGCUCUGCCACUGUGUGUCUGGAAAGCUCUGUGCACUGUUUGGAAAUCCUUAAGCUAAGCCCCUCAGUAACUGACUUGGAGUUUGUGAGUUAACCUACCCACUUAUCCCCCUUUCCUGAACUCAGCCCCCAGCAGGAAGAAUGUCUCUCUGCCCCUCACUCAAAAGGAAAGUGGUCCUGAUUUCCUCCCAGCGUCCUUCUCUCAGCUGGGAUGGAAGUUCAGCCCAGGCUCUCAGGAGGGACAACCCCCUCCCAACACUGUUCAUCCUUUUCCAGAUGGGAACAUAAAAGUUCCAGGUUUUUAUACCCCAACCACGAGCCUGUCUGUUCUUAUAACCUUCUGACAACUUCCAUUUCGAAAGGGAAAAACCUGCCAGAAUAACACAAACUAGGUUGAGUGGCAUCCACAAUUUGGCCAAAUAUGAGCAUUCCAUAUAUUGUGCUAUGGAAGAUAGAGAUUGUCAAAACAAGAGGAGUGUCUUACAGCUUGGUAUGGGACCCUGGUAGCAGGGCCUCACAAGAGAUCAUCAACAGGGGAGUGGGAUACUUCACAAAAUGGCAACCCUUCCUGGAACAGUGUCUCCUUGGAGUUUAGAGAAAGGAUGGUGCCUUUCUUUCCAUGACAAACAAAUGUUACUGAGACUAGUACUUAUUAAUGUAGCCCAUCUCUUGUGCCUUCUCCAUCCCAUUCCAUAUUACCAUCAUAGUCAUCUCUUUUAAACUUGACCUCAAUUCAGAUGAGAGAACAUGCCAGAACAAAACAUCUAUGAGUGAACAGGCCAACAGCACUCAGUUUCACAAAAGGUAGGGAUCUGAGUUCAAGUCCCUAGUCUCUACUUUUGGUGAUGAUGUGUGGUCAUGUGGGGAUGCUGGGCAAGUAAGUCAGCCUUCCAGGUUACAAUUGGACAGACAUAUGGAGUGAGGAAUUUUCUGCUAAGAAUGUGUGUCAUGAAGGGCUUGUAGGGACUGUAGGGACCUUUGGGGACUGUAGGAGGUGGUCCUUUCCUCAACCUGCUAUAUGGAAGGAGGAGGCACUUACAAUGACUCACAAGGUGCUUAUUAGCACUACCUGAAGAAUGCCAGUCACAGGCAGCAUGGCCUCAGAAGAGGUGGGAGUUCUUUUGGGAAUCCAUGCCUGAAUGGGUCUUGACUACACAGUUCCUGGGACCUGGUUUCUGUCUAAGGAAUUCCUAUAAUCUUCUUAGGGAUCACCCUCCCAGGGAUUUCAGGUACAGGGCAACCCUAGGAAGCCCCUUUGGGGCUGGCCUCCCAAUUCACUGCCUUCCCCACAUUACUGGAGUUGAUCAUCAUUAAUGGGCCCCCUAGUGAAACCCUUGUUGGGCAGCCAUAAUCAGUAGGUGUUAGCACUAUCUAGCAAUUUCCUUGGGCUGCCAACAGACAAUUGUCCAAGACAGGCAGCUUGAAAUAGAACCCAGCAGAAUAACUUGGUGGUCAAGGAGUGCCCUGGGGUCAAAACGGGGGUUCCACCAAGGGCCCCCUGUCUCCCUUAUCUAGACAAGAAAUUCUCCUCAAAGUUGCUUCCCUCAUGCUGACAUUGCCCAUCCUUUGUCAAAACAAGUUAAAAAUAAAAAAGUACAGGGAUGCCUGGCUGGCUCCAUUGGUAGAGUGUGUGACUCUUGAUCUAGGGGUCAUGAGUUCAAACCCUGCAUAGAGCUUUUAAAAAAUAAAUAAAAGAGAGGGGAAAAAAUUAAAAAGUAGAAAACAUUUUCUUAAUAGUAAAAUAAGCUAGAAGACGCUAAAGGGAAAGUAGAUUGAGGGGCAAAAAGUAAACAGUGCUGACGAUGAAGGUGAAGGCCAGCCAAAAUAUGCCCACAGGUGGCCCAAAGAGGUAGGUGACCACAGUUGUGGGUAGCAGCUACCCUGUGGCCAGCCAGCGCCAAGCUACAUUCCCAGCAGUGUCCCCAGAGGUAGUGUCCUAGAACUACAUACACCCCACCCUGAGCCUCAGAUGGAAGCCCCUUAAAGCACAGCAUUGUGCUUGGAUGACACAGUAGCUCUGGAAUCAACAGACAUCUCCUCUAAAGCAGGUCAAGGACAGCACUUCUUGAGAGAGGCCUCCUAAUUCCAUCAACCUGAGGGGCUACCCUGAGACGUGGCCUGUGCUAGCACCUGGAAUUCCACUUGGCCUCACUGCCCAUGGAACUCCCAGUCUGAUGGGGAUACUUUUUCCUCCCAGUUUUAUUGAGGUAUAAUUGACAAAUAAAAAACUGUAAUAUAUUUGAAAUGUACAAUGUGGUGAUUUGAUAUACGUAGACAUUAUAAGAGGAUUGCCACAACUGAGUUAAAAACAUAUCCAUCACCUCACUUAUUUACCUUCUUUUUUUCUAAUGAGAACACUGAAUUUAUAUUCUCCUAGCAAAUUUCAGUUAUACAAUCUGGUGUUAUCAACUAUAGUCACCAUGUUUUACAUGAGAUCCAUAGACCUUAUUCAUCUUAAAACUGAAAGUUUGUACCCUUUUACUAACCUGUCCUCAUUUUCCCCCACCCCUCAUUCCCCUGGCAACCACAUUUCUACUCUGUUUCUGUGUGUACGACUUUGACUUUUCUCCCCUCAUUCUAAUGUAGUCCAGCUUGUCCACCUUUUCCUUAUGCUUCGUGUUUCUCAUGCCGUGUUUAAGAAAUCUCUCCCUGCCCUUAAGUCAUAAAAAUAUUCUCCUUUAUGAUCUUCUGAAAGCUUUAUAGUUUUACCUUUCACAUUUAAGUCCUUAACCCGCCUGGUCUUGAUUUUUGUGUGUGAUGUGAAGUAGGCACCCUAUUUCAUUUUUUAUCCUUAUGGAUACCCAGUUGUCCCUGCACAAUUGACUGAGAAGGCUAUUCCCUCCCCACUCCUGUGCACUGUCUCCCCUAUCAUAAAUGAGACUUUAUCUGUGCAUUGGGCUGUCUCCAGGCUCACGAUUCUAUUCCAUCAGCCUGUCUGUCCAGCUUUAUACUAAGACCACAGCAUAAAGAUGUCAACAGCUACUUACCCAGGCUAUGCUCAUUAAGGAUUAGAAAGCUAAAGGUUGGGUAUAGCUACAUUAGUUAAGGAACUAUAGGUAAGGAUCUUGAAAAUCAAUUGGAAAGGCUUGGAGUUGGCAUAGGGGGCAAAGGGGUUCCCUAGCAUGUCAGGGAAUGGAAGAGAUUGAUUCUUAGGAGGGUGAAUGGGCAGUCAAGUCAGGGCUCAAUAGGGGAGCAUGGGGCUGAAGAAAGAAUGCAUGGGAUUAUUGGAGUGUUCAAGGCUGAGAUCACAGAAUCAUAGUGGCCUGGAUGAAGGAGGUGGCAGUGGAAACAGAAAGGGAGGGAUGCGUCCAAGAGACAUUUAGAAGAGGAAGUUAAAAUGAUGGCACUUUGUUAUGAGUCAGGGGAAGAAGAAGGGAGUUGGAGACUGAAAGAUGAUGCUAAGCUUUCUAGCCCAGAAACUGAGAGAUGAUUCUGGUUUGAUGAAAGAGACCCAUAAAGUAGUUGGGGGAGUGUGUUUUUCUGCUACGCAGUCCUGAAAGUUCAGUUGGUAUUCCAGAGAGAGCUGGAGUGGUCCUGACUGCACACAAAACCCCCAAGCCAGGCUGUUGAGCACUAACACGCGACCCGUGGCUUUGGGCUUUGGGGUUGAAGGGGGACUUUGAGCCAUAUUCAGACCCCCUAGGCAGUGUUGAAUGGAUUCACUUUGCAGUCUGAACCAAGUUGUAUCAUAAGGACGUCCUAAAACACACAAUUUGCUAAGUAAGCAACUACCUUUCCAAUGGCAAAAGUCACCCAGAUUAAAACAACAGCAGCAACGUGGGGCACCUGGGUGGGUCAGUUGGUUAAGUGUCCAACUUCAGCUCAGGUCAUGAUCUCAUGAUUUGUGAGUUUGAGCCCCACAUCAGGCUCUGUACUGACAGCUCAGAGCCUGGAGCCUGCUUCAGGCUCUGUGUCUGCCUUGCUCUCUGUCCCUCCUCCACUUGCACUCUCUCUCCCAAAGAAUAAAUAAACAAACAAAAAAAACCCAGCAGCAACAAAAAUAGUGACCAAAACUAAAGGAAAAACUAACUUAAGCUAAUUCAUGGAACACCAUGAAAUAUAUCUAAUAUUGAGGGGCGCCUGGCUGGCUCAGUCAGUGGAGCGUGUGACUCUCGAUCUCAGGGUUGUGAGUUCGAGCCCCACAUUAGGGAUAGAGCUUACUUUAAAAUAAAAUCUUUUAAAAAAUAAAUAAAAGGUAUACUGAAUACUUUGUAAAGGCUUGAAAUAUUUUUUCUAUCGGCCUGGUCUGUUUAUUUUUUUUUUUUUUUUUAAAUUUUUUUUUCAACGUUUAUUUAUUUUUGGGACAGAGAGAGACAGAGCAUGAACGGGGGAGGGGCAGAGAGAGAGGGAGACACAGAAUCGGAAGCAGGCUCCAGGCUCUGAGCCAUCAGCCCAGAGCCUGACGCGGGGCUCGAACUCACGGACCGCAAGAUCGUGACCUGGCUGAAGUCGGACGCUUAACCGACUGCGCCACCCAGGCGCCCCUGGCCUGGUCUGUUUAAAUGCAUAGCAACCUUCCUCUAAUAGUAUUACUGAAAAGCCAAAAGCAUAUUUACAGAGACUGGAUGUGUAUAAAGAGCAGAUAAAUCAAGUCUCUUGAGAAAAUCAAGUCCCACAGCAGAUUGUAUCAAUUGUAAGACGACUACAAUAGUGUUCACAACUCAAUUACACCACCAGUUGGAUUUUUAGAAAGACACCAUUCACAUUUUAGGUCAUAAAAUUAUUCCCUUAAUCCCUUAAACAUCAAAUAAAAUGAAGAUUUAAGAUAAUAUUCACUUGGUUAGCAAUGAUAUGAAAAUCUUUGGCAAAUAAUUACAAAGGAUUUGGCAACAUAAUAACUAGCUAAUUCCAGCACAUAUUUAACAAAGAAUGUGUUGUGGGUGUUUACUUUUCCUUUUUCUAUAUGAAAAUAUAAAAGCUUUUCAUUCUUUUUUUUUAAUGUGUAUUUAUUUAUUUUGAGAGAGUGCACAUGAGCAGGGGAGGGACAGACAGAGAGGGAAAGAGAGGAUCCCAAGCAGGCCCUUCCCUGUCAGCAUGGGCCCCAAGCCAGGGCUCAAUCCCAUGAACUGUGAGAUUACAACCUGAGCUGAAAGCAAGAGUUGGAUGCUUAACUGAGUGAGCCACCCAGGUGCCCCUAAGAGCCUCUCAUUCUGAAUACUGUUGAUGCUUGCCAGGAAGCCAAAAGUGCUGUGAGAGCAUGUCCUGGGCAUGAGGGGCCGAGUCAGUAAGGCUAGGCCCCUGGAAAUGUCUUCCCCUGAAAGACAGUCAGAGUCCAUCAUCCAAUCAAGCUAAAAUGUGGCACAGGCCACAAAGUUGUCAUCUUGAGUUUCUGUAGCCAACUCUCCUUUGUUCCCUGGCAUGAGAGCCAAUGCUGGCUUCUGGGCCUGAGAAACCUUACGCCCAAGCCAUCCAGCUUUCAAGUGCAGAAGUCUUGUUUCAGAAAAGCCAGAACAAUACAAGUAUCCUAACCUAGAUACUCAUCCCUGUCAUUCAUUCACUCCCUUACUCACUUAUCCAUUCGUCCACCCACACAAUCACUCAUCCACUCACCCAUUCACUCAUUCAUUCACUUGUUCAUUCAUCCACUCAUUCAAUCACUCAUUCACCAAUUCAGUCAUCCAUUCGGUCACUCCUUCAUUUACUCACACACACACACACACACACACUCAUUCAUUCAUCCACUCACUCACUCACUCAUCCACUCACUCAUUUCACAAGCAUUUCUUGAGUGUUUGCUGUAUGCCUGAUGCCAAGAGGGCUGCAGAGUGUAUCAGGCCAUGGCCCCUCAUAUCAAGGAGCUCACUCUUAGUGAGAGACAGAAGAAUAGACAAGGGAACCACACCACAGGGCAGAAGGAAAUAAGGGUAAUGUGGAGAUAGGAAGAGCCAGGGAGUGCAGAAGGAGAAGUUAAUUCCACCUCUAAAAUACUACAUCAUUUACUUCUUUCGUUUAUUGCCUCUCUUCCCCACUAGGUCAGCUCCGUGAGAGCAGAGGCUUUUAUUGGUCUUCUUCACUGCUGUAGCCCCUGUGCCUAGAACACUGCCUGCCACACAGUGUGUGCCCAUUAAAAUAUUGAAUAAAUGAGUAAGUUGUGGGGGGAGAAGGGAGAAAUGUGGUAGAACUCUUUGGAAAUGCUUCACAGAAAAGGGAAUCCCGGGCAUAGACCUUGUAAGAGAGAAGGGUGUUGGUGGAUACCUAGAACUGAAUAACAUCUCGGUCUGAGGGAGUAGCGGGAGCCAUAGCCUGGGGGUGGGAGAUCGCCUGGCAUGUUCAGGGAACAGAGUUGUCUCGAAUACAGGAAUGCAGGACAUCAGGAGAAUGUUGCCAAAUAAGAUUGAGAGCAGAUCACCAGGAGCAUUCAAAGCCAAGUGCUGCUUGUUCUCCUGGCCGUGUCGGGGUCUAAAGAAAGAAAUCUGCCAUCCACUUACUGAGAAGGCUGAACACCUAGUGGAUCCAAGCGCACCCUGGGAAAUUGCAGAGGAGCUCUGAUUCCCCUUCCGGAGUACCUAUUGGGCACCUGCUGUGUCUGCAUGAAAAGACUAACACAGAGGAAAAACCAGUAGCAGAAGGUGAAACAGCAAAAGCCCUGGCAGGGAAGGAGGCAGGGGUGGGCCCCAAGCUGGGCCUCCUAGUCUGGCUGUCACUUCUGUGAUGGGGACAGGCCAGCUGAUCCCAAGGGCCCCUGCAGGCUUGACAUUCUGGGACUCUAAUUAAAGCCUUGGAAACUUCAUUCCAGAUAGCUGGGGAAAUCCUUGGGUUCAAAUUCACCUCCCAGGGCUGGCAGUUCAGCUGGCACUGAGGCAGUUAAAAAGGAAUGGAAUGGAAAUCCAGAGGGCCUGCGUCAGCCUAAUUGUCUCUCAGCAGACUUGUUUGCUUCUAGAUGUCAGCAACUCUUAUAGGAAUGCAGAACAGCGGCCUUUUCACAGGCAAGGGUCUGGAGGUUGGUUUCCCAAACUUUUCUUUUUACAUUGUGAAGUGGAUGGGUCCCGUAGUCCAAGAAGAAAUCAAAGGCCAAGACCUUUCCAAACUCAGCUUCCCAGAAACCAAACAAGAAAGGUGGGGCUGUGGUCCAAUGGACUACAGGGCCACCCUUGUCAUAAACAAGUCUCUGUUUUCAUGGAAGUCGAUCCCACAGGUGGCUGGGCUGUCCUUUCUGGGUCCAUGCCACUAAGGCCCAUGAGAGGCCAGCAGCACCGCGCACCCUUCCUGACACGCAGACUGUGUCUGCAUGGAGGAACCAGCUUAGGGUAAAGGGCUAUGACCAGUGAAACAGCUGGUUACUAGAAAAUCACCAGAACCAGUCACGAAAAACAAAGUAAAUACACACCUCAGACAAGUUCUUAUCUCUUAUUUCUGCAGUUUGACUGAGUUUCACUCUCUAAAAAGUGUGAGUGUAGCAUGGUCCAAGCCAAACACCAACCAUAAGGAGGCUCAGCGAAGCCACUCAGUUUUUAAGGGUGAAUGUAAGCAGCUUCCCACCAGUGCAGGGGGAUAUGAUGAGAGUGGGUGGGGAAGGGAGGUGGGAGGCCAAGCCCCAAGAGGGGUUCAGCCUUGGAACCUGGUAGCUGUGGCACAAUUGCUAGGUGGGAAGCCAGAGGUGAGAUCCAAGGGGAGAGGCAAAAGAUCCAGCUGUGGAACCUAAGACUGAGGAGCCCAUGCACGAGCCUGGGGGAGAAGCCAGGGAAGGAAUUAGGAAGACAGAUCUGGGCUCCAGAGCCUGGGGGCCUCCCUGCGGGCAUCUCCUCAGUGGUAUCCAUAUAUGUGGGGAGGGGUGCUGAUGAAGUUCAGGUUUGGUCAUAGUCCACUGGAGGAGCUUAAGGAAUAUUCAGGUGAACGUGUCUAGCAGACGCUUGGACAUACAUCUUUGGCACUGAAGGGAGAGGGAGGGCCCGGGAGCCCCAGGGACGAUGGCCCCUCACACACCCUCAACCUCCUCUGUCACCUUGGUCACCAGGUCCUCCACAUUGUUUCUGGUUCACCCAAACCCCUCUGGAGCCCUGGAACCCCGAGUCUGGGGCUUCAGGCCCCUGCGCUGUCCCAGGGGUGAGGUCCUCUGGGGCCCAGCCGCCCACCGCGAGUGGGGCCCACAGCCCCUUGCCCGGCCAGCCUCUUCCUGCCCUCGUGCCUGCACCCUCAGGCUGGCCCCAUGGAAGUCUCACUCUCCAAGGCUAGUCCUCUGCCCCUUAGCACCCGCCCAGUUGGCUCUCUGAGGAGGACCAGGUCAGGGCUUGGUGGGGAGGGGGGCCCCCAGACUGCAGCCUGCGUCUGUCUCCUCUGUGCAUUCCUGCCACACUGGGGACAUGGGCCAUCUCUGUGCUGGCAGGCGGGGUUCUGCCACUAGAGCCACUGGUUACCCCGGAAGCCCUGGGUGCACCUCCGCCAGGCAGGGACCUGCCUGCGGCUCAACGAGUGGCCUGCUGUCCUUUGCUGAGAGGCCCAGCACCAGGGGAGGCUGGGGAAGCCACCGGCCUGCAAAUGGCAGUGCCCUCCCACUUGGGGGGAGCAGCCCGCUCUUCAAGGGCUGUCGGGGACAGACAGACAUUCAGGUAGGAGGUGAAGGGGACCCGGGGCUGAGGCCCCGUGCCUGGGUUCCUCUGACAGCCUGGGAAGGAAGGGAGAGGUGAGGGAGAGAAAGAGGGGCCACGGAAAGAGGGGAGGAAGGAGGGCACCCAUGGUUUUCCUGGGCACCCAUUGGAAAAGCGCCACCUGUCGGCACCAGGGCCAACCUGGGACCAGGGUGGCUAAUUCUGAGACGUGCUCUGUGUUCUCGGGGCCCGUGUGCUGGACAGAUGCCACCUUCAGCAGGUGAGUGGGAUCACUAUACCAAGCCAACUGAAUCCCUGAGGAGGAAAUCUCCCAGAUUUUCCCCAGCCUCGGACCCAUUGCUCCUGGUGGUCUUGGAAGGGACUUCUAGGUCCUCUCUCUGGAGACCGUGGGUGCCUGGAGAGACCAUGAAGACAGCUCUGGCCAAGGACACAGAGACCCUUGGCUGGCCCUGACUUGCCUGUCACCUUGGCUACAGGCCCUGCCCCCUGUGGGCCUGGCCUCCCCCACCUGUCAGCAGCUUGGGCUGGGGACCUGGCUGACCUGACAGGCCCUGCCUGUCCCUCCCACAGGCUCUCAGAGCCUGGCCGGCUCAGGGCUCCAGGUUUCAGGCAUGUGAGGGCCCUCUGGGCCACCCUGGGUCAACCCUGGCCGCCUUAUUGAUGCACAGGGAUGGGAGGCCAAGCCAGCCUUGGGCCCAUCUGUCUCCACCCCUUCAGUCCCAGUACCGCUCCAGGGACAGGGUGCCCCUUCCACUGUGGGGCUGAUAAAGAGCUUCAUCCCUAGCUUGUCCUCCCCCCCUCCACCAGGGCAAUGCCAGUCCAAGGCCCCUCUAGUCUACCCAGUGUGGGCUUCUGGGGCUGAGGGUUGGUCUCUGGGCAGUGUCCUUUGCUUGUUUUCUGCCUCUUGUUCAUUUUAUUUUUAGCCCACUUCACCAGGCUCUGUCUGGCCUCGGCAGAAUGGGAGCAUGCCCAGAGAAACUGGUGAGCACAUUAGCAAGGCAGGUGGGCAGAGGGUCCACUGAAGGGCUGCGAGGCCAGCUGAAAGAUUGUUUGACUAGCUUCAUCUAUUUAUUAGUGCGCUUGGAAACUGCUAUUUAUAUUUUAACCCUCCAGGGACAGCCAUGCAUCUGUGGAUAAAAAGAGUUGGUGUGUUUCCAGCCUUGAAAGUAAGAAAUAAUCAGUGGUCACAGACCUCGCUGAGACUGCUGGAGUGGGAGACUGAGAUGCCCUUAUAGUAGCUGCCAGGGGUGGUGGGUGUCCCCAUGCCUGCACCCCCUCAGUUUGGAGGGGUUGUGCGUGCUGGGGAUCAUUAUAAGCAAAGGACAGUACAAGCCCAUGAAAAAUGUCACAGCAAUCAUGUAAAGGUUUCACACCUGGGAAAAUGGGGACACCAACCUCCCUUGCAGAAAGUGCUAGAGGCCACUGGGAGAGUCGAGUGAACAAGGCUAGAGCCAGGGUUCCUUCCCUCUAUGCAAGAAGGUGGCAUUCACAGGCCUAGAACUAGCCCCCUCUCCCCCUGCCCCAUCCCUGAAGGUGUCUGUGGUCGGCACUGCACCCCACCUCUGAGCAGGUGCCGAGCACCCGGGUCCAGCUUCUGCGCAGCUGCCAGGCCAAGGGCCCCAUGGGAUCUGUGUGGAAAGUGGAGCUAGAUGAGCCUCUCUUUGAGGGAGGGCCAUUCCAGCUGAAUCCGCCCUGAUCCUGCCACUGGGAUCCCAGAGGGGCUGACAGGUGGGAGUGAGGCCACCAAGGGGUCAGCCUGGGGGCGGUCAGCAGGGGUUGGCCAGUUGGAUACCGGACUCCUGCGCUCCUGCCUGAGCUCAGGCUCAGGGCUCCUGGCAAGUGUCUGACCCUAGCUUCUUGAAGCCGACUGGGAAACUUCCUAAUAUUAAGGCUUUUCCACUGAGAGCUGUUUGUGUCUCAGAGGCCCCUGUGUUUGGUCUGCUAUAAUGGCGAUGUUUUGGGAUGCUUAUCAAUAAGCAUUUUAACAAUUUGCCAGGGCCUGCUUGUUAUUUUGGGUAGCACUGGCUGCUGUCUCUGCAGCUUACUAAUGGGAGACAGUUUAAGGACAUGUGUAGACAUAACUGAGUUCUUCCUGGAGCAAGACUAGCUUGCAAGCAUCUCAGAACUUAACAGGAGAAAAGCAACCCAAAUCCAGCACCCCCUCCCAGGAGAUCUCUUUACCUUGCUAAUGGCACCCAGCAAUGUGCAUUUCAAUUCCUGGCAGGGCGUUUUCUGUGGAGUCUGGCAGUUCUAAUGGUCUCGUUUGCCUUGCAUUGUGCGUUCCGGGCCCCAGGCGUUCCGCCUGCUCGGUCUUGGCCUUCAGAGCUACUGGAGGGAAGGAAGCCGCCCCUGCCACCCCUGCCUGGGCUCCCCUGCGCCUCCGCCCUGGCCCAUCCAAGGGCGCCUGAGUACAGCUCAGGUUGGAGCUCAAUUAACAUGUCAAGCCGAUAGUUUAUGGCUAAAUCUACAUACAUCAUAAUCUAAAAGCAAACAUUUGCCUUCGAUAGCUCUAAUUUACGCAUAGACUCAGUUUAUUGUUCGCGUCUUAAUUAUUUUUUUUGAAUAGCUUGGUGGCAGAAAAUCAAAGCCUGAUGAGUUUUAUAUUAGACACUGCAACUUCUUUUCUUGUGUGUUUUUUCACGUAAAACAUCUCAUUAAUACAGGUAAUCUGGAGGCUUUAUAUUUAAACUUUUCCUGCUCAUAAAACAAACUGAAUGAAAAUGUAACUAAUCUGUAGAGAAACUUUCUCUCCUUUUGUUUUCUUAUCAGAUACAUCAGCAAACACAUGGGUGAGAGAGGAAGGCUGUGAAACAAGAAAAUGAAUAAAAUUCCAAUCAAAGGUAUGUUAAAGGAGUUUUACAGGCCCUAGUAAAUUAUGUUCCACGAAAGAAGUUCAGUUAACACAGUGCAUAGGAGGGGCAUGCUUCUUCUUCUUUUGGCCUUCUUUUCAGAAAGCGUUCGCUUGGGAGUCCUCUUGGGCCCCAGCACAGUUGGAUGAGGGCCCAGGGGCCACAGGCCACAAGCCACAGGCACAGUAAAACCAGCGCCCGCCUGCCGUAAGCCUGCCUUUUCCCCGGUAGAGCUUUUGCUGCCUUUCUUCUUAGCGUCCGGGCCUCUGCAGACCACUGAGCCACAACAGGGCUUGUCUGUGGCCCCUCUGCUGGCCAGUCAAGAAGCCAGGAGGUGAUCCGAGAGCUACCCGACUCCAUAUCCUUGGCUUUUGGCCUCGGUGGCCAGAGGAAACUCCCCCCUGAUCUCAGCCUAGAGCUUAAAACUCUUGGAGGCGACUGUGAGGUUAGUUAGAGAGGGUGCUGGAGGCAGAGGAAGGCUCUGGGGUUCAGGCACAUCUCUGGGCUUUGUAGAAGCGUCUCCCCUCCCUCCUGAGCCCUGGCCCUGUCAGUCCCAUUGCCGGCUUUGGCUGGGGACCCAAAUCUCAGGACACAAAGAGGCUAUUUAGGUGCAAAUAUCCCUAAUGAAUAAAGAAAGGAGAUUCACUUGCCAGAUUAUUUAAAGCAAGUUGUCUAAAACCAUUUCUCUUUAGCCAGCACGUUGGCCCCGGUGGUGGUGGUGGUGGGGGGGGAGUUGCUGUAAGACACAUAGCAGCCCUCAAAAGCCUGUCUUCAGAAUCCCUCCUGGAACCAAUACCUGCAAGGAGGAAUUGACGAGCAAAUUACAAAUUAUUGCCAUGAACUGAGUGCAAAGGUGCCUCUAGCGGGCCACGGGAAAAGCGCGUGUGAACCGGUUGAUUUGACUAGACUCUUCCCAGCCAACAGAUUCUCAACCAGCCUCGUCACCAGGAGACUGAAAGUGAGGAAGUGGCCAGAUGGGACUGGAGACUCCUUGGACAUUUCCUGACUGGCAGGGCUUCUCUCUGGCCCCUGCUGGCAGGGCUGCCAGUGCCACCACUGCCUGCCUGGUGCGCCGCCUUUGGCUGAGAGGGGCUGGUCGGGAGCCAGGUCGAUUAGAAGCUGUGCUGGGCUUGAUGGCCACGCCCUGGUACCCUUCCAGUUUGGCUUAGGAAAAGGCCAUGAUGGGAAGGAAGAAUCACAGGGCUGGGCCUCAUAUCCUCGUCUGCCAUUCCUACCUCUACUCCAGUAUUAAAACGUUUUGCAGACUUCACAUAACAGCUAGCGAUGCUUUAUCAUCCACCGAUCAAGAAACACAAAAAGACAAAUAGCCACAUAAAUAUGCAAGGCAAAUCUGUCUAUAGACAGACAAUGCUUGGUAUACACAUGGGUCCAUGAACUCCUGCCAAUAAUGCCCCCAUUCAUUCACUCAGCCAACAUUUACUGAAGACCCACUACGUGCCAGCCCUGUGUUCGAUGCUGGGCCCAAAACAAUGAGAAAGACACAGCCCCUGCCUUCUGUGUGUGCACACUCUACUAGGGGAGGCAGACAGGAACCACGUACACAUGGUCUUUGAGAAAGUCAGUAUCACUGGGCUGAAGUCCAGGAGUUGGCAGGUUUGUGCUCCCUCUGAAGGCUCUGAGAGGGUCCUUCUGCACUUGCUCCAGCUUCUGGGGGCACCUUGGCUCAUGGCCAUAUCCCUAGGUUCUGUAUUGCUCCUCAUCUUAGCACACUUAUUGUUGGAUUUAGAGCCCACCCAGAUAAUCUAAGAUGAGCUCAUCUCGAUUAACUUGAUUACCUCUGCAAAGAUCCUUUUCCCAAAUAAGGUCACAUUCAUAGAUUCCUGGUGGACAUAUCUUUCAGAGGCCACCAUUCAACCCACAACAGUAUGAACAUAGGGGUCUUGGGAAGCACACACCCCAAUGUUGGGGGCCAUUUCUGGUGCUCCCCACAGCUUGCUGCUACUGCUGUCUGUGGUGUUUGAUCAGACCUUCCUGCUACAUGAGUCACCUGACUUCUUCUAGUGUGUUACAUACUGGAAUCUGCAUUUCCUCUGAGUUGGUUAUGUCUGUCUCCCAACCACUAUCUAUCUAUCUAUCUAUCUAUCCAUCUAUCUAUCUCUGUCUCUAUCUAUCUCUAUCUCUAUCUCUAUCUCUAUCUCUAUCUAUCUCUAUCUGUUUAUCCAUUCAGCCACCAGAAGUGUUUUUCUAAAGGCUGGCUUGGCUCCUGCCCUUACAAGCCUUUGAUGCCUCCCCGGUGCCUGUGGGAUGCUCUCUGAGCUGCUCAGAUGUUGAGUCUGGCCCUCAACAUCGGGUGGACACAGCCUACUAGCCACCCUCUCCCCAGUCCCCCACCCACCCUCAUGAACAUCCAUGUCCCAUACCUGUCCCGUUUCUUCUCCCCAGGAUAUCCUGGGCUCCUCUGUCCCCAGGCCUCUGCUCACGCCUUCCUUGCCUAGGAUAUUUUCCACACCUGCUCACCUUCUUUCUACCUUUCCAAGUUCAGCUCAAACCCCACCACUUCCUAGAAGCCUUCCCAGUCCUGCAGAGCUGAGAAUAACUCUCUCUAGUCCCUUCCUGAGGGUCCAAGGGUCCAUAUCAGGGUGGCCAAUUCUCCUAACUAGGAGUCUCUUUCUCCCCCUGUGGGAUAGAGUUGAACUUGCCUUCCAGUCCCCAACACCUGGUACAUGGUAAGAAACGUAGUGGGUUUUUGCAGAAAGAAUUUGAGGGGGAUGUGUGCAUCUUAUUGCUUCUUCCAUUGCUUGGUUGGCAAGGAAGCUAACCAAUUCCCAGAGGGGUGGAAAGCUAGGAAAACCAGCUGAGAUGGAAGGGGUGCAGUGUCAUCUGGUAUAAUAGAUGGCAUCCAAAGAGACUCACUCCUGCCCUGUCCUCUCUUGCUGCCCCUUUUCUGCCGGAUGCCCCCGGUCCACCAUCUCCCAGGCAUACCCACCCUUGUCUUGGCACAGUUGUCUUGGCACAGGGAUUUGACAUUCAUUCUGUUGACACCUGAGUGCAGAUGUCCCCUGAGCCCCCUUUCCUGGUUCCUCCUUCUUUCAACCAAAGCCAGACCUCUCAGCUCCUCUGGCUGCUGAAAUGUAAGGCCCCCCAAGGCCAUGGCUAAACAUCAUACCCAAACCCCAACUCAGCCGCACCCCUGGAGUCUGUGCCCAGAACCUUUUUGACUUGGCCCUCCUCAGGAUACACAGCGCCUGGUAGCCAUCUUCAGCCGUCCCCUUGUGUCCUACCCACUCAGGGACUUGCUGGUUUUGUCCUCAGCUUCUUCUUGGCCCUCAGCCUCCUCACACCUGCUUUCAUGGGAGCAUCAGCCUAAGAACUCCAUUCUGCCAUCACUAUGGUGCAGGGAGGGGACAGAGCAUGAACCCUGACAUCAGCCCUGGGGUCACAUCCCAGCUCUGCCUUGUACUUGCUUGUGACCUGCUUGGAGCCUCAGUUCCCAAUGAGCUGUUCAUUCACUUAGAAAAUUUUUAUGGGUGCCAGACAUACUAAGUGCUAGUGAUUGAGGUUGCAGCACUGAAAAGGACAGAAACUAUGCCCUCAAGGAGUUCAGGGCUUGGGCUUGUGAGGCGCUAGCCAUGCAAAUGAUAAUGAUGGAAGAAGAUCAAGGCUAUAAUGUUGGGGCCCCAUGCUGUGCUCUGAUGUGCCUGCAGAGCUCUAAACAAUCUCCCACUCUCAAGCAUUAUAUUAUAAAAACACAGCGAAGAGCUAAGGGCUAGAGAAUUCUGCAGUUGCAAUAAAAAGUCACUUUUCUUGCAAGGAUUUCAAUAGACAGACUUUUUUAAAAAAUAGCUGUGGGUGUAUUUGGCUAUUGCCAGCUAAGAUAAUCAGCUGUUCCAAAUGGACAGAACAGACAUGAACACCACCAAGCCCAUGCAGAACAGCACGCAAAACCAAAGUCAAGUUUCUGAACUGCCAAAAUACUGUGUGUCCUCAAUUUUAAGAUGGUGUCAUUGAAAAGAUGCAAAUAAUUUGAUGUGUUUUUUUUUUUUCAGGAAGAAAUAAGGCAGCAAAACCACGUCAAAGUUAUCCCUGUAUAGUGCCGAGUGUGACAGCAUUAACGAGUGAGAAAGCACGGGCUCUGAAAAUUCCCUCUGCAGCCCACCUCCCACCUGCCAGAGGCCUCAGGCGCACCAGCCACUCUGCACAGACGACACUUCCACCCCCUCCCAUGUCUGUGGCCCUAUGUCCCAGCUCCUUUCAUAGCCAAGAGCAAGCCGCGUAGUGCUACUCUGGCUGCCUAGCGAUGUUUUUCUGUCCCAUAGGACUCACAACAGGAGAAAUGGUUGUGUGCAAAGGAGUGACAGGGGAAAGGAGCAGCCACAUCCCUCCCUGGGAGGGGUCCAAGACCUGGACCGCAGUAGCAG
RNAcentral lists this long non-coding RNA (57590 nucleotides) under Lynx pardinus (Iberian lynx). The stretch from base 45895 to 45967 matches the Rfam family "tRNA". Lineage: Eukaryota; Metazoa; Chordata; Mammalia; Carnivora; Felidae. The record is from RNAcentral.